This 56114-nucleotide long non-coding RNA is filed under the name Capsicum annuum. RNAcentral's name for it is "long non-coding RNA (CANN_LNC007154)". Lineage: Eukaryota; Viridiplantae; Streptophyta; Magnoliopsida; Solanales; Solanaceae. The record is from RNAcentral.
CUGUCAUAUGUCAAUAAUUGUUUUAAUUUUUUUAAAAAAUUAUUUUUCUUCCAUCUUCUUCAAAUUUCAUUAAAAUGCAUUUGAAGCUUUGGGGAAUUUUUUUUUUUCUCAUUAAAAUGCAUUUGAAGCUUUGGGGAAUUUUUUUUUUUUUUUUUUUUAUUAAAAUGCAUUUGAAGCUUUGGGAAAAAUAAAAUAACGACCGACCACCUUAGAGUCUCCUAUUGCUUGGAUUUAUGAGCUACUUUAAACACUUUAUUUUUUCUUUUUCUCUCUCAUCUCUCUCAAUGUCUUUUUUUCUUCUUCCGGGAAAAAUAAGAAAAUGAAGACAAAUUAUUUUGUUGUUUAUGAAGGAUAACAAAUAAAAUCUUAAGUUUUACAUUGCAACAAAGAUAGAAGUCAUACAAUUUUUUUUUAAUUUAUCAAGAAGGAAAUUUUUGGUAAAUAUACGACUUUGCUAAUUUAUCAAGAAAGAAAUUUUGGACAAAUAUAAUUACAUCUUUAUAAAAAAAAAUUGUGAAAGAAUAAAAAAAUGGUGAAAUUAGGACAGUAGAGGGAGUUAAAAAAGAAGUGAAAAAAAUCGGGCAUGUAAUUGAUUGAAGUAUAAAUUUGAGGAAGAUGAUGAAUAGAAGAGAGAAUUAAAAAAAAGGAAAAAAAUAUAAAGAAAAAUAAAAAAUAUUAUUUUAUAUUACUCCCUUCAUUUAAAAAAGAAUGACUAUUUUUCUUUUUAGUCCGUUUAAAAAAAAUGACCUUUCCUUUUUUGGCAAUACUUUAAUUUUAACUUUUCACAUGGCAUGUUUAAGACCACAAGAUUAAAGGAUAUUUUGGUACAUUUGACAUAACUUUAAUUUAAGACCACAAGAUUCAAAAGUCUUCUUUAUUUUCUUAAACUUUGUGUCAAGUCAAAGUAGGUCAUUCUUUUUUAAACAGAAGGAGUAAAAAAAUACGUGUUAAUUACUUCAUCUGUUAAAAAAAGAAUGACUUAGUUUGAUUUGGUACGGAAUUUAAGAAAAUAAAGAAGACUUUUAAAUUUUGUGGUCCUAGAUUAAAGUUAUAUCAAAUAUACCAAAAUAUCUUUUAAUCUCAUGAUUUUAAACAUGUCAUGUGAAAAAUUGAAUUAAAAGUAUUGCAAAAAAAAGGAUCAUUCUUUUUGAAACAGAUUAAAAAAAAAAAACAAGUCAUUUUUUUUUAAACGAAGGAAGUAAUAAUUGGUGUGUAGUCAACAUUUUUUUUGAAAAUUGAAUUUGAUUCAAAAAUGAUACUCAUAAUAAUAUCAAUUUAAAAUAAUUUAUGUGAUAAUAGGUCGCCCAUAAAGUUAAAGUAUUUUUUUACAAAUUUUUAAUAAGUUUUAUAUCUUUUCUCUUUGAUAUAUUUUUUUAGUUUACUUUUUUUUUAAAAAAUCAAGAUAUAAGAUAUCAUGUUAUAUUUUUUAUUUUUUAAAUUUCAUAUCAGGUCAAAAUAUAUCAACUAACUCUACAUCAAGAGCAGAGACGGAGUCAAGAUUUCAAGUAAGAGGGUUCAAUAUUCAAAGAAAACUAAGUCAAAAGGGGUUCAACAUCUACUAUAAUCACAUAAAAAAUAAUUUUAAUCAUAUAUAUAAAUAAUAUAUUUUUUUAUCGAAGGAAGUUCGGACGAACCCUUGACUGGCUCCACCUCUGACCAAGAGAGUAAUAAGAAAAGUUAUCCCUUCGCUUAAAAAAAAUGAUAACCCACCUACCUCAAACCAUUGCUGUCUUCCCUGGCUUCCUCCAAUCUCCACCGACGGUCAUUAAAAAUCUGGUGUACCCGUCCAUUCUUUUAUAAAAAAAAGAAAAAAGUAAAUUUAAAGAAGAUAUUUUUUGUUUCAAUUUUAUUUUUAUUAAUUUGCUUAUAUAUAUGUGUGUGUGUUAGCAAUUUUUAAAUUUUUACUUGAUAUUACUUGAGAUCGGAAAAUUAAAUAAUAAUUUAAUACCUUCUAUAUAUUUUUAGUUAAAGACUAUAUAUGAUUCAAUUUUUUUCUUUUAACUUUUUUAUACUUUAUAUUAAAUCAAAACAAAUUGAACGAAUUGAAAUGGAGAGAAUAAGUGUUUUUCUUACAUUGUUUCGUUUAAGUAUACAUUUUCUUUAAUCAUUAGAGAAGGCAGCUCUCUAUUUUCAAAUCGUACGUGAGUAUUAAACUUAUUAAUUGAGCAACCUAUUUCAAAGUGUCUUGAAAAUCUGGAUCAUAGGCCCUUUAAAUUCAUUGGGUACUAAAGCCGAACAUCAUAGAUCUAGGCAAUAUUGGAAAUAAGUAUUCCCUUUUAUUUCUAAAUAAAUAAGUACCUCCUCUGUCUCAAAUUAUUCAUCCCAAAUUUUUUAAUUUGAUUUCUCAUUUUACUUAUCUUUUUUUAUUAAUCAAGAAGAGACAAUUUUUUUUCCAUAUUUUACCCUUUAUAUUAAUUACUUUUUCUUCAAAUUAAAAUAUAAACAUCAUUUAAUAGAGAUAUUAUGGUAAACUAACCAUACUAUUAAUUAUUUUUCUUAAUCAAUGCAUCAUCUCAAUUUGGGACGGAUAAUUUGAAAUAGAGGAAGUAUUGUUUAGAUAUUUCCACCAUUCACUUUUACUUGUCAUUAAUUUUCUAAUUGAAUUCUACGCUUACUUGUCAUGUUUUACAUAUUAAGAAAAGACAAUGCUUUUUUUUUUUUUUUCUAUUUUACUCUUAAUAUUAAUUAUUUUUUUUAAAUUAAUUUUAAAAUACAAUGUAAAUAUCAUUUAAUAAGAGUACUAUGAAAAAAUAAACAUCUCAUUAAUUAUUUUUCUUAAUGAAUGUGUUAACUUAAAAUAUGACAAAUAAAACGAAAGGAAGUAAUCAAGAAGAUAUUGAUGAUAUUUUUUUAAUGUUAUUUUUUUUUAAAUAAAAAAGUUUUUACAUAUCAAGAUACUAAGAAUUACAUUAUUGCGAAGAUUUUUUAAUAAAGUAAAAAAAGUUCAAAUUAUUUUUCAAAUAUCUUUCACACUUAUUAGUACUAUAAUCAUAACAUAUAUUUUAUUGUAAACACAUAUAUAUUUUAUCAGUAGAAGUUUUAAUUGAUUAAUAGAUCGUCACUUUUACAUAUGUCAUGCAAUAUCUCUUUUUCUUGGGGUAAAAAAGAUUGCAUCAAUUUAAACCAUAUUUUAUAGUACAAUUAUUUUUAUUUUUUCUAUAUUUAAAAUAUUCUCUUAUUUUUAAAAUUAAAUCUUUAGAAAAAUUUUAAUUAAUUACUUAAAUUUUAAAAAAAUUUAGUACUUCUUAUAUUUUUUCUUAUUCUAACGCUUUCAUAUUUUUUCUUAGAUUUUGCAAAUCUUCUAAAAAUUAACUUUUGUUAAUUUAAAAUUCUUAAAUUAAUGAAAAAAAUAUUAGUUGUCAUUAAUUUUAAUAGCGUAUAAUAAUAAAAGAUUUUACUAUAAAUAUUUAUUUAAUUUUCAAUUGUUAAAUAUUUGAAAAAUAGUGAAAAAUUUUUGUUAUCUAAAUCAAGAAUUUUAAUAAAGAGCAAAAAAUUCAAAUAAUAUUUUCAAGACCUUUCACACUUUAAAUAUAAUAUAGAUAUUCAAACUAAAAACAUCAUUUAUUUAGAAAUAAAGUGGGUGGAAAAAGAGUGGAUUCAAAAUAUAUUAACACAUCAAUCAAUUACUCCUUAUUCUCAAAUUACUAGUUGGCAUAACACGACUCAACUAAGUUGAAAAAGAAAAGACAGUUACUAUGAUAAAAGUAGAACCAUUUUAUUUCGAUACAAAGUGCCAUUAAAGGCUUAAUAUGUGUUUAGGAAUACAUAAAAUCAUAUUAGUGAGUACGGAUUACAUAGUACCAGAUAUAUAGACGAUAGUUUCUAGAUCAUUCAUGAAAGGGUCGAAAGGCGUUUUCAGGUCCCCUCUAUUCCAUCAUGGUCUAUGAUUAUUUUAUUGUUACAAUCCUAACAACUUGGAGUACGUACUCCACAGGUUGAAGCAACUCUCCGGGCAUUAGGAGAGUUGACAUAUGGACGGAGAUUUGGAUUCUGGAGGUACCCACAAAGACAAGGUUUCUGCUCUCUCAACUUAGCGCAACAUACCGAAGAGGGUGGUUGUGAUGAUGUAAUCGCCCCGGCACAUGAACUCAGCUCCGUGACGCUGCAUGUCACGGCCUCAGUGACUAGCAAUUCACUAAGAAAAAGAACCAAGAACGUUGCAACAAAAGCACUACCCUUCUUCAUAUUCAAAAGCUUUGGAGAAAUGUAAGCAAUGGUAAGGGUGAGAGAUCUAGGGAACGAUGGUGUCUCAAUUUAUAGUGGAAAGUUGAAUAGAAGUGGACAAUCCAUUGUCGUGGAAAUGAAAUCUAUAGGGCCACAUUAUUGACUUUUUAAUAAAUGGCGUAUAAUUGUUGGAGACAUUGUACUAAAGAUGAUGAAAAUUAAUGCAUAUGGCUUGGUCCUACUAGAGAUUGGUGCUUUUGGCAAGAAAUGUUAGGUCAGUGGGGGCUCACUAAAAGCAAAAUCAAGUCUCCACCGGAAAGAGACGUAAUUUCGUAUUUUUACUUGACUAAGAAUUUAUAUUUAUCAAUAGUUACCUUCUAAUUGAUAUAAGUAGGUGUUUGACCAUGAAAAUAAAAAAUAUAUUCAUUUUAUUUGAAAUUAGUGAAUUACCUGCGCUUCGCAUGGCUAUAAAAAAAAAAAAUUAGUAAAUGAAUAUAUUUCACUAUUUUGUAAAUGAAGUAGUAUAUAACACUAGUAUUCCAGUCAAGACACUUUUGAUCUUUAUUGAUCUUAAUUUGAGAAAAUAUUUUUUAAAAAAAAAUAAAAAUAAAAAUUCUUUGCUACUUUUAAAGUACCUACUUUUUUAUAUACACAUUGUAGAACAAAUAAUUUGGAAUGUAUAAGUGAUGAAGUAAAUGGAACAAGAGGUCAUAUUUUGAAACCAUAAUUUAUGGAUGAAGUUGAAAAUAUUAUGUUCUGUUUUAACCUCUAUUUUUGUAGGAGUACUUGAUCUUUUAUGCAAAUGUCGAUUAUAAUUUCUAUCUUGUGCCUUUAGUGUUACAUUCACUUAUGAUGACAUUCUUUUACGCAUCAAAUAAAUAUUUUAAAAGUUAUGAAAAUGAAGCAAAGUAAGCCGAAGUUAUGAAAAAAUAAAAUAAAAUAAUUAAUUAUAAUAAUAUAAAACACAAGAGUGUGACAAUUAUUAAUAUGAUAUUGCACUAUAUAUGAUAUUUACAAUAUUUGUAUUUCAAAUAUAACAAUAAAAGAAAUUACAUAGAAAAGGGAAAAGAAAUCUAAACUAUGUUAUACAUCUUAAAAGAGUAUAUAUAUAUAUAUAUAUAUAUAUAUAUAUAUAUACAGAGAAGAUACAAUAUAUUAUUAAAAUUGGAGCAAGAAAUAACUAAAGCAGAUAAGCAGGUAGAAAUCUUUGAAGCAGGUAUGAGAAAUGAAAGAAGAGUUAAAGCGGAUGUUUUAUAAUAUGGUGUAAAUUCUACUCAGUACUUCCUCUUUCGUUGUCCUUAGUAUAGUGUAAGUGGACAAGUUAUAAAGAUCAAAGUAUAUUUUCUCCCAACUAAAUAAAAUAUUUUUUGUAUUUUUUGAUUUUAUUUUUAAUUUAUACCCUGUUAAUCCCUUUCUCUUUAGUUUUAGGUAUUUAGCAAUGACUUCUUUAAUCACACUCCGGGAUGACACAACAAUCCUUUCAAAUAUUUAUCAAACUUUUUUAAUUUCCUAGGAAUUUAUAGAUUAAUCCAUCGUUAUUGCUAAACACUGAGAGAAUAACCAUAUAGUAGGGGUAUAUUUAUAAGUAAAAUACACAUUUUUACAAGAUCAAAAAAAUGGUAGUAAUCCGCACGGCUAUCCAAAUCUAUAAUAAAAAAAUACAUCACUUCUACAAAAUCGAAAAACUGGUGGUAAUCCGCACGGCUAUUAGAUCUAUAAUAUUUAAAACAUAUCUGGAAGAAAAUAUGAACUUGAUAUAAUUUACAAAUUAGGGAGAAAAAUACAAAGAUCUAUGUAACGACUACUUACAUGACUUAAGGAAGAAGUGAUGUUUUUCUUUCGGGAGUCCCCUGAAAUCUAACAGCUACCGGAAUGAAGGAAUAAAAUAUUAAUAUACACUACACACUCUCUCUCUUUUUUUUUUGGAACAAACUAAGAAACUUUAUGAACAAAAACUUUAGAAGACUAUUUUUCUCACUCUUGAUUUUUCUCUUACUUCUCUCUAGCUAUAUGUCUUUAAGUCAUCCAUAAGGUGGUAUUUAUAGGCAUUCUGUGGACUUCAAAUAUCUUGAUAAAACUUUAGCAAGUUGGGUGGGCCCCGCAGUCAUAUAGUUAUGUUUCUACUUUAGCUCCCAUCUGUCCACCUGUUUCCCAUUUAUUCAUCUGUUAUAUCAUUGCAUACGUCUCUUAUUUUAUCUUUUUGUAAAUAUCGUCAUUGCUUACGUAUCCAAAUUGUGUAAUGCUUCUGAGUCGAAAUUCAUUCCUAAAUCAUUGUCCGCAUUUGGAUCUUGGGCAAAUUGAUCCAUGACCGAAUUGUAAUUUCGAUCAUACUUGUCAUUGUCUCUGUCUGAUAGUCCCAGUUUUGUUCCUGUUCUGGGUGAUCUUAUUUUUUCUCUUGGAAUUCUUAAUCUUGGUUUUGGUAGUUCUAAAUUUAUUGUUAUUUCUUUGGGCAGUUGCUCUGCUAAUAAUUUUUUUAUUGAGUCUACUACUCUUUUUUCUAUAUUUCAUUUUUCAUUUUUCUUUUUUCUUAAGAAAAAACCUUUUCUAGUCUUGGAAGAGCUUUCUUCGUCUGUUGUCUGGGUACCUGUGGUCUUGAAACUGGUUGGGAGUAUUCUCCCUACACUUUUUGGUGAAGUGUCAGCCGUCAACGGAUUCGAUGAGUCUUUACCAGCUACCAUUUGAGCUGGACUAGCUGUAUCAUUACCCGAUACAGUAGGUCUUUCUAUAUUCAUUGGGGAAUACACGCCCAUUAACGGAUUUGAGGAGUUUUUACUAGCUACCGUUUGAGCUGGACUAGCUGUAUCUUUACCCGAUACAGAGGGUCUUUCUACAUUCAUUAGGGAAUGCACACCUUUUUUUAUUCAUUGUUGAAGAAGAUGAAGAACUCUUUGGGAUUAUUUGAGUCUCAUAAAUUUGCUGAGUCUAUUGUGAUGAUUCAUAAAGAAUCUUUAUACGAUCUUGUAAAAUACUUAUAUGUUCUAACAUUUGUCCUUUUUCAUUUAUAAGGUUUCAUCGUCUUGUCUUAAAAUUUCAUUAGCGUGAAUUAGUCUUUUAAAAGCUUCAGUCACGGAGGAACAAUGGUCACAAAACAUAAUUUUGUCUGUAUUUUUUUUAAUAUUAUAUUGAGAAACUUCUUUUAUAUUUGGUCUUAGGGCUAGAGUAAUGUAAUAGUUUGGCCCUAGAUUUCUGCGGACAUAAUUUAAUGCUUUUGUUAAAUCAUUAUAGCCUUUAUAGAGAUGAGUUGUAUAGUCCUUUACCGAAUCUAUUAUCUCUAUCCAUGUUUGAAAUACUCCCUGUGUCUUUCCCCUAAGAACAACAUAAAAUUUAAAUCUGUUAGUACUGUUUUUCUCAGUAAAAUAUUAGCUUAAAGCAUUUACAACUGAAAUAAAAUAUCUAGUGUCUCUAGGUGUCAUGUUGUAGGAAAUCCAUAAAUUAUCGAUCAGGCAGAUCUGUGGUUUGUCCACCCUUACAUCUGGUCUAACUUUGAAAGUCAAAUUGGAUGGCUCAUAACUGAUGAGAUUGUGAGGUCCGAAGAUUAGUCUUUCUAAUUUUGGAUGUUCCAACAUUAUUAGUGGCCUGUAAUGAGUGUUGCUUUAUAGUUUGUUUAAAUAGUCUUGAGAGGAUGAGGCGUCUGCCUUUCCUUUGUAUUUGCCUGUAUACAUUCUGAAACAAAAAUUGUUAGUUCUUUUUUUUAUUAGUCUACUUAGUUGAUCUGCUAGGUUAUUGUCUUUUCCUUUAAUAUGUUAUAAAAUAAUAUUGUAAAUGGAAGUGGCAUCUAGGAAAUUUAACCACCUCCUUUUACUACUACUCUUUCUUUAAUUUUUUGAUAGAAUUUUACCAUAGCCUCGUAGUCUGUUCUUACUAAUAUUUCAGGCUUAUUUAAUAUAUAAUGUUUAAAACUAUUUAAACCAUAAAUUACUGCUAGUGUUUCUGCGUCUAUGCUAUUUAAAUUGCCCUUUGCUUUAUAUUUUCCACUUGAAUAAGCACAAAAUUUUUCAUUUUUUUUUAUCACUAUAUUUAUUGGGUUUUGCCUUUAAUAUUGCUCCCCAUCCAUGAAGGCUUUCACCUGUCUCUACUAUUAGAUAAUCUAUUUCUAAGGGUAGCGUUAAGUCCGGGAUAUCUUGGAUCAUGCACUUGAGUUGUUGGACUAAUUUUAUGUCUUCACUAUUAAAGUUUUUUUGGUCUGUUGAUCCUGUUUUAGAAUAUAACGGUCCUGCUACUUUUCCCAAGUCUUUAAUAAAAACUCUAGCAUAGUUUAGUAGUCUUAAUUUUUUUUGUAAAUUUUUGGUUUUAUCUAAUCUAUCUGACAUUUUAAAGACUUUUUUAGCUAUGUGAGAUUGUAGUUUUAUUCUUCUAUCUCCAAUAACUACUCCUAAAAAAAUAAUACUGUUUGUACAUAAUUUCAUUUUCUUUCUACUUAUUAUUAUUAUUAUAUUAUCUACAAAUAAUUUAAAAACUUGUUGUAAAUGUCCUAAAUGUUCUCUCAUACUAUUACUAAAGACUAAAAUAUCAUCUACAUAAACCAAGACAAAGUUUUUAUAGUCUCUAAAAAUACCAUUCAUUUUUCUUUGAAAAAUUGGAGGCGCUGUCUUUAGUCCGAACGGCAUAACCAACCACUCAAAAUGUCCUUCCGGACUUGUAAAGGCUGUCCAUUCUAUACUAUCUUCAUGCAACUUAAUCUGCCAAUAUCCGAAUUUACAAUCAAAUUUACUAAAUAUUUUUCUUCCUUGUAUUCUGUUUAUUAAUUCUAUUUUGUCUGGUAACUUAUACCCAUCCAUUAUAAUAUUAUCAUUUAAUCUUUUGUAAUUUAUUACCAUUCUAGAUUUUUCUCUUACUAUUUCACUAUGGUUUCUUACUAUGAAAGCUGCUGAUCUAUGUCUUGCUUUGGAUCUUCUAAUUAUCCCGAAUUCUAGUAGCUCUUUUAUUUGUAUUUCAAAGUCUUUAAGGUCUUCAUUUGUAGCUUCUAUAGAUUCUGUUUUUAUAGUAUAUUCUGGAUUAAGUAUUUCUAAUUUGUAGGUAAUUUGAUUGGAGUCCUAAUGUUUCAAGGGUUUUUGUCCAAUUAUCUCUAGUUUGUCUAGGAUUUGUAUUAUUUUAUCCAGGUCUUUUUGAUCUUUGAUUACCCCUAUCUGUUGUAUAUCAUUCCUAAAAUUGUAUAAUUCGGUAUCUAGUUUUAUUAAUGCGUAAUCUUUUUCUAUUUCUUCUACUGUUAAUAGAUCUUGUAAUUCCUCAUACAUUGUUACCUUUUUAUUAUAAUUACAAGUACAAUUUUCUGUUUCAUCAUAUUCUAGAGUUUUUUUUUCGAUUUUAUUUGAUCAUUUGAACUUUCGAUUCUUUCUUCUAUCUUAUCUUUAAGGAAAUAAUAUUUAGUUAGCAGGGGUUGUGUCUGUACUGGUGAGUGAGUGAUAUUGCUAGCGAAUCUUACCCAAUUUUUUGUAAUAAAACAUUCGCCAUUAUUUUGCAUCGUAGAAUCUAAUCCUAAGACAAAGUCUGUCUUUAUGUUUAAAUCUCCAACUAGUAUUUCAUUGAGUGUAUAUGAUGGUUGAUAGAAUUUUUCACAAGUAUUAAUAAAAAUUACCUUUGCUUUUGGUAUAUAGUCUGUAUAGGUAUUAUGGGUUCCGUCCAUUUGCAUGGAUUGUUGAGGUCUUGGCAAGUUUUUAAUUAAUUUUGAUGGUAAAAUUCUAUUUAACUUUAUUAUUUUCUACUGAUGUAUUUAAUAAUUCUAUCUCUACUAAAUCUUCUUCUCUAAUUAUCUCUUUACUGUAUACUCUUAUCUCUAAUUUUUUUAGUCUUUCUUCUAAUUGUAAUAUUCUGUCUUUGUUGUUCUGGUUAUUAGUUCAUUCGUGUAGCAAUUAUUUAAAUUAUUUAUUGAUAUUGGAAUUUCUAGGAUUUUUGAGGUUUUUUCUAUACGUUUUAUGCAUCCUUCUUUAUAGCAUUUCUUACAUUUUACCCCUUUGUUUUUACUUGAAAACCAUUUAAAGAAACAACACUGGUUACUAUCUAAUUCUUUUCCUUCCCCAAAUUCAUGUUCACAUUCUUCUAUCAAAUUUACUAAAUCAUGAUAGUCUAAGUUCGUCUUUUCUAAUCCUAUUUUAUUUAUAAAUUCCUCUUCUCCAGAAUCUGAAAAAUCAAAUUUAUCUUUUUCUUCUUCAAACACUUCCAUACUCCUGAUGGAGUAUAUACUUUUAUUAUCUAACAUAUAUUCAUCCACAUUUAUCAGAUUUUCAUUUACAUCUUCUAUUAAUUGUGCAUUCCUAGAUCUAUAUUGUUUCCUUUUGGACAAGUAUUUGCUAAGUGCUCUACACUCCCACAGGUAAAGUAUUCUAAUCUAUUUUUGUAGGUUCUACUGGUGUUAUAUUUUCUUACAUGUUUAUUCUUAUCUAGAUAUGACUUUUUUGCGUUUGAUCUUCUUAAGUAAUAUUUCUUCCUAGGGUGAUAGUCUUUUUUAUAUGCCUUUUUAUAUUUUUUCUUUUUAUAAUCUUGGUCAUAAUGUUAUGCAGUAUAUAUAUUUUUACAAAAAUCUGUAUCACUUUUUUUUAAUUAUUUUUGUAUCUGUAUAUUUUUACAUUUUUCUUGUAAUAUAUCUAUUACAUGUUGUAUUCUUUGUCCUAUUGACCAUUGGUUGUUUAGGUUUUGUAUUACUCCUUCUCUUUUGGACUAUUUUUCUUCUAUUUCUCUUCCUAGAGCCCCUAGUAAUUUUUUAAAUAAUCUAUCUCCUAGAGUCUGAUCAAAUGAGUUUCCACUAAUUGUACAAUAAUAAAAGUAGUCAUUUAGAAAUUCUUUAAUCCUUGACCAAUUAUUAAUACUUAGUUGUUCUAAAUUUAUUAGGGCUUUUUGCUGCAAUACCACUAAUCCACUAUUGGGAUCUUCUCCUGUUAGUAAAGUAUGUAGUUUGUUUACAAAAUUGUAUGAAUUUGAACCUAGUUCUACUAAUUAAUGAAAAUCCUGUGGGAAUAAUGUCUUGUAUGCUUCCCAUAGUGCUUUAGUACUUUCUCCUAGAAAUGUUUCUAAAUAUAUAUACAUAAUUUCUACAUCUGGUUCUUGAUUCCCCUAUAUAUGUUGUAUGUAGUCUGCUACAACUACAUUUUCCCUAUGUCUAUUAUAUUAUUCCAAGCCUGAGGAUUAUGAGCUGGUAAGUUUAAAAUUUUUCCUUUAUUACCACCUCCUUUUAAUCUAAUGGGUUCUUCUAUUGGCAUUUUUUUCCUCUAGGUUUUAUGUCUUGUUCAGCUGGAGUGUCUGGGUUUAUUCUAAAUACCCUAUAUCUUGGUAAAUUUUUUGUUGUUAUAUUUACUCUUUGCGUUCCGGUUGUUCUCUAAAAAGGGCUUAUAGUACUUGUCGCCCUUUCCAUAAAUUCUUUUAUACUUUCGUCUAUACUAUAUAUCGAUUCUGAGUGUUUGCCUUUUCUUUUCUUCUUAUGUGUAUAACCAUAAUUAUCUGUUCUUAACUCAUAAUUUAUAACAUGUUCUUUAGCUUUGGCGAGAUUAAGAUUUCGCAUUUUACAGCCUAUACAUUUGAACUUUCUGUCGUUAUUUGUUUUGUAUAGGGCUUCUGCUUUGAUUAUAGCUUUAUUCACUUCAAAACCUUCUUCUAAUACUUCUACAUUCAUAAAAUUAGAAUUUUCACAUUCUUCAAUUUCUUCAUCAGUUUCUUUUUCAUUUGUAUAUUGGUAAAUCUUAUUGAAGUUUAUUCUUUAGUGUAUAUAUACAUUAAAUGAUCGGUUGGCUUUAGUAUUUCUUUCUUAGUAAAUUUUUCUAAGUUCCAUUCUAGUCCUGCAUAGUCUUCAAAAUUUAUCUUUAGGGGUUUCAUUAAUUUAAUACCUUUAUUUUCCAUUAAACUUACUACAUCAUCUAUUCUUAAUCUAAAUUUUGUAUUACUAUUAGUGGCGAGUUUUCCUAUAAAUCCUACACAUAUUAAUAAAUUUUUUCCAUUAUUCAUUUCUUCAUAUCCUUUAGUCUGGAUUUCUAUCUUUAUAUAUUUUCCAAAUUCUAGAGAAUUUAUCAUAUAAUCUGGACUAAAAUAAAAAAGUCAUCCAUUUGUCAAUAUAUCUACUUCUGUUAUUCCAAUUAUAGAUCUUUUUGAGUCUGACUAUCUAUUAUCAUAGAUUGUAACUAAUACUUUGGUUCUUAGAUUUUUUCUGGUUAGUCCUUUUAGGCCUACUACUAUGAGUCCUAUGUGCAUGAGGCUUAUAUUUGACUUGGCAAUUUGUCUUAAAGAUUCUGAACUUAUUAGAUUUAUACUAAGACUAUCUUUACCUAUUACGCAUAAUUGUUCUUCUCUAUAAUGUUUAUAUAAUUGUGUUAUUGAAAACAUUCCUUCAUUAUAUAGUGUCUUGGCACUUAUUAAUUUUAAUUUGUUUUGUUGAAAAAGUUAUAUAUCUUUAUCUAUAUCUAAAAUUUCUUCUAGCUGUUGUCUUGGUGUCAUUUUUGGUCUGUUUAUUAUUCUAGAUAGUACAUUAUUUGUUAAGCUAUUUUGGGUAAAACCUGAUCUUGGUCUACUUGGGGAUGCUGAAAAAAGGUCCACGAUUUUUUAGUAGUGUUUAGCUUUUGUUUCUCCUUUUAAGGAGUUAAUUCUAAUUUCUGUAGUUGUUCUAUUAAUUCUUCUAUACUAGCUUGUUGUUCGAUCUGAGCUUUUUCUUGUUGUUCUAGUUGAACUUUUUCUUCAAUUACUUUUUCUAGAUUUUUAUUAAGUUCUAAUAGUAGUAAUAUUAUAAUAUUAUUUUAUUUUAUUAUUGUGGAGUCUCCUUUUCUUUGGGGUUGAUGAUCUGAUAAUCCUUCGGGAUUUGAUUGAAUUUGUGCCGCUUUUUGUAAUAUUGCUAAGUAGAGUUGAUCAUUUAUAGAGAUGUUAUUCAUAAGAGGGUCAUUUCUUUAAGUUGACUAAUUUCUUUACGUAUUUCUUUUAAUUCUUUUUCUAUGUUAUUUAUACUAAGAAAAUUUAUAUCCUAAUUUGUUAUUACUUUAAUUUUUCUUUCUAGUUCUAUUUGUUGAUUUUUUAGGAAAUCAAAAUUCUAUUCUAUUUUAUCUAACAGAUUCUUUGUUUAAUUUGCAUUUUUUCCAAUACUUCUAGAGUCUUUAGUAUUUUACUGUCUUCUCUUUGUACUGCUUCUCCUAGAUUUAUUAUGAGAUCUGUAAUAGUAUUUAGUUGAGAAUCUUCUCCAUGCAAAAUAUGUUCUCCACUACCGCAAUUACUUUUAAUGAUUGAUCAUCUUUUAUUUGUCUGUGUCUCUUUUCUACUUUUAAUUGCAAAUCUAGAUGUUCUAUUUUCUUAAAGAAAUCUAUUUUAAUGUUUUUAUCCUAGCCAAAAUGUCUCUUUAUUACAUUCUUCUCUAAUUGAUUUUAUUCUAAUAUUCCAAUAAUCUAUACAAUAUCCAAUCUGUUCUAAUUUACUUUUUAGCCGGAUUAAGUGGUCUAUACAGCCUAAAUUUUUUUUACGAAUUGAAAAUAUAAUUGCUUCUGGUAAAUCUAUUGAUUCUACUACUCUUAUUUCUUCUAUUACAUUUUGUUCCCUUGUUAGAAUUCUGUUUAAAUGUUUUAAGUUUUUAUAUAAAUAGUUGUAUGGUCUUUGAACUUGUCUAGCAACCGGAUGCGUUUUCAUGUACUUUUACUUAUUUUUAUCCUAAAGGAAUAUUUACUAUGUAACACAAUUUCUUUAGAUAACUUACUGAUACAAAACUAUGUGUGUAUCAAGAUAUUUCAACCAACACAAGAACAACAAGAUGAACAACAAGUUUCUAGUGAAUCGAAAUAGGCCUCACACGGCUUCACUAGAAUUUGAAUUUGUGUUUUUAACAAGAAAAUAAGAUGAAUAACAAGAUAACAAUGCUAGUGAAUUGAAAGAGCCCCACAUGGCUUCACUGGACUUUUAGAUUCAACAACACAAAGUUAACAAGAUUACAAAAGAGAUAGAAACUUAACACACAAUAUUCAAAGAACCUCAAAAAUAAGAAAGGACCCUAAGAGUAGUGAAUAUCAAUACCAAGUUCUUACUUGGAUCAAGAGGAACUCAAGAACCCCAAGAUCCUAGUUUCUAGCCAAGAGACAACACUAGUAUCACUCUACUAGUGAGUUUUUGAAAUUGGGGCUUCUCCAAUGGAAGAGAGAAGUUCCAAAAUAUUACAAGUGUUUUGUUAUCUUCCAAAAUAUGAAUGAACUAACUAAAAGACUAGCCCUAACAAAUGACUUAUAUAGUCAAUUACAAAGGAGGGAUAAAAAACCAAAAUACCCUUGGCAUUAAGUGGGUGGGUUUGGGGUGUUUUGUUGGGCCUCUUCACACUUUAAUAAGUAUAGGCCCUUAGAUGGACUCACAAGGGCCACACACAUGGCCAAAGAUGUGAACAAGGCUUGGAGUCGUUGAAACUCAUGUACUUGACUUCGUGUAAAAGGUUUCGAUCUAGGAAUUCCUGUAUCAUCCUCUCUAUCUUGAAGGAAAUUUGUCCUCAAAUUCGGAUCAUUGCUAUCCUUCACCGUUUCCACCCGAGAGAGGUUACACACAUUAAAAGUGUUGUGCACUUGAUAUUCCGGGGGUUGAUCAAUCUUGUAGGCAUUGUCAUUGAUCGUUUCUAAUACUUGGAACGAGCCAUCACCCCGUGGUAUCAACUUAGCAUACCUUUUAGACAGGAAUCUAUCCUUCCGUAGGUGCACCCACACCCAAUCUCCCAGUUCAAGAAUGAGCUUUCUUCUUCCUUUGUUGGUUUGCCUUGCAACUUCUUGGUUUUUAUUCUCCAACCGCAACCUCACCUUCUCAUAUAUCUUCUUCAUGGCCUCAACCCAUUUGCUUCCAUCUAAGCUUAUCAUAAAAUCACUUGGUAAAGGGGUUAAAUACAAAGGGGUGAGGGGGUUGAUGCUGUAUACACACUUAAAGGGUAUCAUCCCCGUCCUUGAGUGUAUAAUACGAUUAUAAGAAAACUCUAUCAACGUUAAGUGCUCCUCCCAAGAAGUCAUUUUUCCAUUAACCAUGGACCGUAGCAUAAACCCUAGGGUUCUGUUUGCUACUCGUUUGGCCAUCGGUUUGUGGGUGACAUGAAGUCAAAAACAACAACUUAGUACCGAGGCUACCCCACAUGGACUUCCAAAAAUGGCUUAGGAAUUUAGAAUCCCUAUCACUCACUAUGGUCCUCGGAAAACCAUGAAGUUUUACAACAUUAUCAACAAACAAAGAGGCUACACUAAGCGCAUCAUCAUAUUUAGAACAAGGAAUAAAGUAAGCCAUCUUGGAAAACCGAUCCACCACGAUAAAAAUACUAUCCUGUCCCCUUCUAGUUCUCGGAAAUCCCAACACGAAGUCCAUUGAUAUGUCAAGCUAAGGAUAAAAAGGGAUGGACAAUGGGGUGUACAACCCAUAGGGUUGAAGCCGUAACUUGGCUCCUUUGCACUCAACACAUUGGCUACAAUCCGGGCCACAUCCUUGUUCAUUCUAGGCCAAUAAAAUUGUUUUUUCAAAAUUUCGAGGGUCUUAUCGACCUCAAAAUGGCCCAUUAGACCGCCAUUGUGUGAUUCCCUCACAAAAAAUUCUCUCUACAAACUUGAGAGAACACAUAAUCGUCUACCCUUAAACAAGUAUCCAUCAAAUUUGAUAUAGGGAUGAGAACCCCUAUCCGUAACCCACCUAUCCCUAUCCAACUCUUUACUUUUCCUAUAGAUAGGAGCGAAGUGAGGGUCCUUGGGAUAUAAAGACUUGAGGCUUUCAAAACCCAUCAACUUAGAUGACAAAUUAGACACAUGCACAUAUUUUUGGGAUAAAGCACCAACAAUCACAUUGUCUUUACCAUUCUUGUAAUGAAUAACAUAAGGAUAAGUUUCAAGAAAUUUAAUCCAUUUGGCAUGCUGCCGGUUAAGCUUGUCUUGUGCCCGUAGAUGUUUCAAGAAUUCAUGAUCCAUUCGGAUCACGAAUUCUUUAGGCCACAAAUAAUAUUGCCAAGUGACCAAGGCUCUAAUCAAGGCAUACAACUCUAAAUCAUACGUAGAGUAGUUUAGAGUUGCUCCUUUGAGCUUUUCGCUAAAGUAGGCAAUAGGCUUCAAUUAUUGCAUUAGAACCGCACCUAUGCCGACUUUGCUAGCAUCAUAUUCUACCUCAAAAGUCUUAUCAAAAUUCAGCAAUUGUAGCAAAGGGGCCGAGAUGAGCAUAGCUUUUAAGUCCUCGAAGGCCUUAGCUUGUUCAUCUUCCCACUUGAAAGGAUGAUCCUUUUUAAUUACUUCGGUCAAAGGGGCGGCAAUAGUGCUAAAUCCUUUGACAAACCGUCUAUAAAAACUAGCCAACCCGUGGAGGCUUCUCACUUCACCUACAAUUUUAGGAGUUGGCCAAUUUUUAAUUGCGUCAAUCUUAGAUUCAUUCACUUCAACCCCUCUUGAACUCACCAUAAACCCAAGAAAUACAACCUCAUAGACACCAAAAGAACACUUUUCUAGAUUGGCAAUAACUUCUCUUUUCGGAGGACAUCAAACGCACAUUGUAAAUUCUUUACAUGCUUAUCUAAGGACUUACUAAAUACCAACACAUCAUCAAAGUAAACAACAACAAAAUUUUCGAUAAAUGGCUUCAUCACAUGAUUCAUUAGCCUCAUGAAAGUACUUGGAGUAUUUGUUAGGCCGAAUGGCAUAACCAUCCAUUCAUAGAGACUGAAUUUGGUCUUGAAGGUGGUUUUUUAUUCAUCACUUGAUUGUAUACGAAUUUGGUGAUAGCUACUCCUCAAAUCAAUUUUAGAAAACAAACACGAACCAUUCAAUUCAUCAAGUGUAUUAUCUAGCCUAGGAAUAGGGUGACGAUAUUUUACCGUUAUCUUAUUGAUGGCUCGGCAAUCAAUGCAUCUACACCAAGUUUCAUCUUUUUUAGGAACUAGUAGAAUCAUGACUGCACAAGGGCUCAUACUCUUCUUGAUGUACCCUUUAUUAAGAAGUUCCUCAACUUGGCGUUGCAAUUCCUUGGUAUCCGCCGGGUUGCUUCUAUCAGCCAGUUUGUUGGGUAAUUGUGAGCCUAACACAAAAUCUAUUUGGUGUUCAAUUCCCCGAAGUGGGGGCAGCCCUUGUGAAAAUUCUUUGAGGAAAACAUCUUCAUAAUCCUACAACACAUAAGAAAUCAAAGGAGAAAUAGAAAAAUUAGUGGGGUUAGUGUUAAAACAAUAUACCAAAAGAAGCAUGGGUGUGUCCUCAUCAUGAUCUACGAGGAGCUCCUUCUUUCUAACCAACAUCACCAUGUUUUAUUUUCCAUUUGAUGUUGAGGCAGCCCCGGAUACCCCCACUACCCCACCUAUAGGUUCCCCCUCCUUUUCUUUAUUUUCAGAUUUCUUCCCCUUUUCUUUUAAUUCUCUCAUCCUUUGAUGCAACUUGUUCACUUGUGAAGGCAAAAGGGGAUGAAGUGUGGCCUUUAGGCCAUCCUUCAAAAGUGAAUAUCUAUUAUACCUCCCAUCAUAUUUGGUAGACCUAUUAUAUUGCCAAGGUCUACCUAACAACAAGUGACACACUUACAUUGGUAUCACAUCACAAAGCACUUCUUCAUGGUAGUUUCCUACUUUAAAAUUUAUCACACAUUGCCUCAUGACUUUCAAUUCACCAAAUUCAUUCAACCGUUGUAACUUGUAAGGGCUAGUAUGAAGUGUAGUUGGCAAUUUCAAGAAGUUUACCAUAGCAACACUAACAACAUUUGCACAACUACCACUAUCUAUCACCAAAGUGCACAUACUUCCCUUCAAUAGACAUAUAGUAUGGAAUAGAUUCUCUUAUUGGCUAGGAUCGUCUAUCGCCUUAAUAAUCAUGGCACGCCUCACUACAAAGUUUGGAAUAACGCACUUCCUUUCUUGUGGAUAAGCAUCCUCACAAUCAUCAUCAUCAUCAUGUAGCUCUCUUUCGACUAUCUCUUCAUCUUGAGGCUCGGCCUCAUCCUCUUCUUUUUCAAGACCCACCUCCUCACCAAGGUAAUACAAUCUCCCUUUUCUUAAGAUCACAUUACAUCGGUGUGGACAUUCAUUGGUUUUAUGUCCCCAACCUUGACACUUAAAACAUUGGAACCCUUUAGGAUUAGGAUACUUGUGAGCUUCUUCCUGGAGAGGAAAUUUAUGGACUGCUUUAGGCUCGGGAAGCCUUGUAGUGGAGGGUUGGUCCUUGUUUCUAGGACAACCCGAAGAGGAUUGAACCAUAUCCUUGCCCUUUGGCCAACCCGAGGUUGAUUGUCCCUUUGCUUUUUAAGUUCCCUUUCAAUCUCAAGAGCCACUUGGAAAAUACCUUCGACGGUAUCAUACUUGUGAAGUAACAAAUGAGUGAAGAUCUCUUUGUUCAACCCACACUUGAACCGAAUGAUGUUAUAACUAAUUUGUUCUCCAUGAUGAUCAAGUUUCAACAUGAGUUGUUGAAACUCAUCAUAAUAUGCCAUCACGCUUUGAUUCCCUUGCUGCAAAUUGUACAAUCUAGCAAGCAAGUCAUGUCGAUAACUCUCGGAAAGGAACCAUUUUCUCAUUAGGUACCUCAACCAAAACCAAGGUGGUGGUUUUCCAUCAAUCAACUCAUUACCAAACCUUUGACGUAUUUCCACCAUGUGUUAGCAUAGCCUUCAAAGUGAGUUAUGGCGUAACUACUCUUCUUCUCCUCCGAAAUAUCAUUCACUUGAAACACUUUAUCACACGCCGACUCCCAAGAAAGAUACACCUCAGGGUUACAUUCACCCUUAAAGAUAGGUAGGCUCUAUUUGAUGGUAUUCAUGCCUACGUCUCUCUUUUGGUGUCGGUUUCCCCUUUCUCCAUACCCUUGGUAUCUUCUUGGAUCCACACGUCCCCUUCUCAUCUUUUCUUCCCUUAUAUAAAUAUCGUCAAGGGCUCCAUACCCUUCAUAAUCCUCUCUACCAUAUUCUUUAAAGUAGACGGGACGGUUUUGGAUGGUUGGAACUUAAUUUGGAGGGAUUGGAUUUUAUGAAGGUGGUGGUCUUUGGUUUAGUGGAGCUCGAAAGGGAGGGUUUGGAUUUAGUGGAGGUAUUGGAUGCCCAAGUCCCUCUUGUGGAACUUGAGGAGUUUGGGAAUGAGUUGGUCUAUUAGAGUCUCGGGUUAGGGGGUUAUGGGUGGUUUGGCUUGUGGUAUUUAGUGGAACUAGUGAAGGAUUUGGAAAUUGUUGCCAUGUUUCGGGAGUAACGGUGGUGGACAAAUUUCUAUCAUGUCCACUUGACGAAUCAUUUAAAGGAGUAGAAGGGUGAGAGUUCCUUUGACUCUCACUUGUUCUAACCUCCCACUAAUAGUCGUCACUUCUCCCCUUAUGACUCCUACUUCCGUACUGAACCUUUCAAGAGUUUGGGUCAUUGCCUCAAGAGUGACCCUCAUAUUCUCCAUUUCAUUGAAUCCACGAUUUGAGAUGUGGUUUCCUCCAUUGUUAAGGUAUCACCUACACAAGAAACAAACAAGUUAGUUUAAAACCUCUCCUCACUCACACUCUCUUGGAUCAGUCACAAUCGAGCGCCACAAGUGUUGUAAUUGGCUAGUAACCCAUGAAUCCUUAAGGUUUGAAUAUGCUCUUGUCCGGAGUGGAUUCUUGUUUGAAACUCAAAAAAUUCCUUUCGAACUAGAUUCAAGGAGUUACAAACUAUUCAAACGACAAAAACACACAAACAAACAAUGACACGAAUACAAGGCUUCAAGGGGCUAGUUGACAACCUAGUAGGAAUGUACUAGCUUGCUAAUUAGUUCUCGAGUCAAUUAGAAGAAACUAAGAAUCAACAAUUAGAAACUAAAAUAUAAAAAUUGAGCUUAAUUAAUUAUGUGAAUAGUGAUUAAGGUGACGUGACAGCAUGGUAUUGGUCACAGGUUCAUACAUUUUGUUCAACAACUUGAGGCCUUAAUCUUCACAAUUUUGUAAUGGAUGACUUUACUUUUGGAGAGAAAGUAAAGUCUUGUAACUUUUCAACUUUUUCCAACUCAAAAAGGUGAGGCUUGACUUUACUAGUUCCAUAAGAUAAGGCUCCUUGUUUUAAGGAAAAACGUUUGUUAAAUCAAGGAAGUGAUGUUGGCAAGUCUUCUCACAAACAACUUUACAACUUUUUUUUGCAACCUUUUUGGAUCUAUUUUAGUCUUUAUAGUGGUCAAGAUAUGAGAUGAGGAGAAGAUCAAGAUGAACACCACAACAAUACUUCAAGAACACAACCACAAUUAACCAAUAACAUCCCACUUUAAACAUCAAGCAAAAACAACACACAACUCGACCUACUUUAAGUUCAUCAUACUACCACUUAAAGUCCACAAUAGCAAUGUCAGUAUGUUAAGCUCAACUUAGCUUUAGAAACCUUUUGUGUUGAUGAGAAAGAAAUCAACACAAGAAACAAACUAGACCAAUAAAAGAACAUCUAGAUCUAAACACACAAACACCAAUCUCGGCCAACACACAACACAAGACAAUUUUCUCGGCCAAGAACAAGAUGGAUAGAUUUCUCUUUUUUUCUGGAAUUUUCAGAUUUCAAUAAUUUUUUUUGUAUUUUUCAACUACCAAGCCCAAGAUUGAUUCUGGUGGAACAAAAUCAACCACAAGAUUUGAUACCAAAUGAUACAAGACUAUGUAACAAGACUAUGUGUGUAUCAAGAGAUUUCAACCAACACAAGAACAACAAGAUGAACACCAAGUUGCUAGUUAAUCGAAAUAGGCCUCACACGGCUUCACUAGACUUUUAGUUUGUGUUUUGAACAAGAAAAUAAGAUGAACAACAAGGCAACAAUGCUAGUGAAUCUAAAGAGCGCCACACGGCUUCACUAGACUUUUAGAUUCAACAACACAAAGUUAACAAGAUUACAAAAGAGAUAGAAACUUGACACACAAUAUUCAAAGAUUUAAUAACCCCAACAAUGAGAAAGGACCCUAAGAGUUGUGAAUAUCAAUACCAAGUUAUUACUUGGACCAAGAGGAACUCAAGAACCCCAAGAUCCUAGAUUCUAGCCAAGAGACAACACUAGUAUCACUCUACUAGUGAGUUUUCAAAAGUGGGGCUUCUCCAAUGGAAGAAAGAAGUUCCAAAAUAUUACAAGUGUUUUGUUGUCUUCCAAAAUAUAAAUUAACUAACUAAAAUAAUAGCCCUAACAAAUGUCUUAUACAGUCAAUUACAAAGGAGGGAUAAAAAACCAAAAUACCCUUGGCAUUAAGUGGGUGGGUUUGGGGUGUUUUGUUGGGCCUCUUCACACUUUAAUAAGUAUAGGCCCUUAGAUGGACUCACAAGGGCCUCACACACGGCCAAGGAAGUGAACAGGGCUUGGAGUCAUUGCAGCUCACAUGCUUGGCUUCGUGCAAAAGGUCUCGAGCUAGAAAUUCCCGUAUCACUUAUCCUUCUAUUGUAAUAUUCUAUGUCGUUUCUAAUUCCAUGUAAUUUCCAUAUUAUUUCACUUAAAUAUUCUUUGAAUGAUUUUGAUUGUGAUAUUUCUAGAGUUGCUAAUAAUUUCAAAUAGUUACUCAAGACUAUUUCUAGGUCUACUUUGUCUGUCCUGUUCUUUAUUUCUUCAUUAAUGCCAAAAUCUUAGUCGUAAAUUGUUAGUAGAAGGAUAUGAUUUCAUUACAGAGCCUUAAGAUUACAUCCUAUACAUUAGAACUUUUUGUCAUUAUUUAUUUCGUUGCUUAGUAAUUUCUUUAAAUAGUCUUGAGAGGAUGAGGCAUCUGCCUUUCCUUUGUCUUUGUCUGUAUACAUCCUGAAACAAAAAUUGUUAGUUGUCUUCUUUUAUUAGUCUACUUAGUUGAUCUGCUAGGUUAUUGUCUUUCCCUUUAAUAUGUUCUAAAACAAUAUUGUAAAUGGAAGUGGCAUCUAGAAAAUUUAACCACCUCUUUUUACUACUAUUCUUUUCUUUUAUUUUCUGAUAGAAUUUUACCAUAGCCUCGCAUUUUGUUCUUACUAAUAUUUCAGGAUUAUUUAAUAUAUAAUGUUUAAAACUAUUUAAACCAUAAAUUACUGCUUGUGUUUCUGCGUUUAUGCUAUUUAAAUUGUCCUUUUCCUAUCCGCGAAGGCUUUCAUCUGUCUCUACUAUUAGAUAAUCUGUUUCUAAGGGUAGCGUUAAGUCCGGGGUAUCUUGGAUCAUGCACUUGAGUUGUUGGACUAAUUUUAUGUCUUCAGUAUUAAAGUGUUUUUGGUCUGUUGAUCCUGUUUUAGAAUAUAACGGUCCUUAUACUUUUCCUAAGUCUCUAAUAAAAGCUCUAGCAUAGUUUAGUAGUCCUAAAUUUUUUUGUAAACCUUUGGUUUUAUCUAAUCUAUUUGCUAUUUCUAAAACUUUUUUAGCUAUGUUUCAUUGUAGUUUUAUUCAUCCAUCUCCAAUAACUACUCCUAAAAGAUUAAUGCUGUUUUUACAUAAUUUCAUUUUCUUUCAACUUAUUAUUAUUCCAUUAUCUACAAAUAAUUUAAAAACUUAUUGUAAAUGUCCUAAAUGUUCUCUCAUAUUAUUACUAAAGACUAGAAUACCAUCUACAAAAACCAAUACCAAGUUUUUAUAGUCUCUAAAAAUACUAUCCAUUUUUCUUUGGAUAUUUGGAGGAGUUGUCUUUAGUCCGAACGGCAUAACCAGUCACUCAAAAUGUCCUUCUAAGCAUGUAAAGGCUGUCCAUUCUAUACUAUCUUCAUGUAUCUUAAUCUGCCAAUAUCCGAAUUUAUAAUCAAAUUUACUAAAUAUUUUUCUUCCUUGUAUUCUGUUUAUUAAUUCUAUUUUGUCUGGUAACUUAUACCCAUUCAUUACAGUAUUAUUAUUUAAUCUUUUGUAAUUUAUUACCAUUCUAGCUUUUCCUCUUACUAUUUCACUAUGGUUUCUCACUAUGAAAGCCUUGCUUUGGAUCUUCUAACCAUAAUUAUUGUUCUUAACUCACAAUUUAUAAAAUAUUCUUUAGCUUUGGCGAGAUUAAGAUUUCCUAUUUUACAACCUAUACAUUUGAACUUUGUGUCGUUAUUUAUUUUGUAUAGGGCUUCUGCUUUGAUUAUAGUUUUUUUUCACUUCAAAACCUUCUUUUAAUACUUCUAUAUUCAUAAAAUUAGUAUUUUCACAUUCUUCAAUUUCUUCAUCAGUUUCUUUUUCAUUUGUAUAUUGGUAGUCUGUGAAUCUUAAAAGUACAUGAAAAUGCAUUCGUUUGCUAGACAAGUUCAAAGACCAUACAACAACUUAUAUAAAAACUUAAAAUAUUUAAACAGAAUUCUAAAAAAGAAACAAAAUUUAAUAGAAGAAAUAAGAGUAGUAGAAUCAAUAGAUUUACCAGAAGCAAUUAUAUUUUCAGAUCGUAAAAAAUUUUAGGCUGUGUAGACCACUUAAUCCGGCUAAAAAUUAAAUUAGAACUCUAGCUACCGUUUGAGCUGAACUAGCUGUAUCAUUACCCAUUUUAGUACUUUUUUCUACAUUCAUUGGGAAAUGCAUACCCAGGUUCAAAUCCAUACAAUUUUAUAAACAAAGUACAUAAACUAACAAUUUAUAAAAUGUUCUUUAGCUUUAACCGGAACGCAAAGAGUAAAUAUAACAAUAGAAAAUUUACCAAGAUAUAGAGUAUUUAGAAUAAACCCAGACACUCAAGUUGAACAAGACAUAAAACCUAGAGGAAAAAGAAUGCCAAUAGAAGAACCCAUUAAAUUACAAAAAGGUGGUAAUAAAGGAAAAAUUUUAAACUUACCAGCUCAUGAUAUGCCACCUUAUGAAUAACUUAAAGACAUAUAGCUAGAGAGAAGUAAGAGAAAAAUCAAGUGAGAAAAAUAGUCUUCUAAAGAUUUUGUUCAUAAAAUUUCUUAGUUUGUUAUUAAAAGAAAAAGAGUGUGUGUGUAGUGUAUAUUAAUAUUUUAUUCCUUCAUUCCAGUAGCUGUUAGCUUUCAGGGGACCCCCGAAAGGGAAACCUCACUUCUUUCUUAAGGCAUGUAAGUAGUCAUUACAUAGAUUUUUGUAUUUUUCUUCCUAGUUUGUAAAUUAUAUCAAGUUCAUAUUUUCUUCCAGAUGUGUUUUAAAUAUUAUAGAUCUGGUAGUCGUGCGGAUUACUGCCAGCUUUUUAAUCUUGUAGAAGUGAUGCUUUUUUAAUUAUAGAUCUGGAUAGCCGUACGGAUUAUCGCCAGUUUUUCGAUCUUGUAAAAAUGUGUAAUUUACUUUUUGAUAUUGUAAAAAUGUGUAAUUUACUUAUAAAUAUACCCCUAGUAUAUGGUUAUUCUCUCAAUGUUUAGCAAGAACGAUGGAUUAAUCUAUAAAUUCCUAGGGAAUUAAAAAAUUCUGAUAAAGAUUUGAAAGGAUUGUUGUGUCAUCCCGGGGUGUGACCUUCUUCUAAUACUUUUAUAUUCAUAAAAUUAGUAUUUUCACAUUCUUCAAUUUCUUCAUCAGUUUCUUUUUCAUUUGUAUAUUGGUAGUCUGUGAAUCUUACUGCUUUAAACACUUCCAUACUCAUGAUGGAGUAUAUACUUUCAUUAUCUGACAUAUAUUCAUCCCCAUUUAUCAGAUUUUCAUUUACAUGUUUUAUUAAUUGUGCAUUCCUAUAUAUAUAAAGAAGGCUUAGAAAUAUGCUAAUGCGGCAUACUUCUGUGGCCUCCAUUCCUAAUUUUUCCUCAUUUUUUGACCUUUGUUUGUAUUUUUCCUUGUUUUAAAAGUGAAUAAUUAAUCAUAUUCUAUCCUAUUUACUAAGUAUCAUUAAAUUCUUUAACAAUCAUAUUAAUUUAUUGUCAAUUUGUUAUUAUAUUAAUUAUUAAUUAUGAAAAUGAAGCAAAUUAAGCCGAAGAUAUGGAUAAAUAAAAUAAAUUAGUAAUAAGUUAUAAUAAUAUAAAACACAAGAAUGUAACAAUUUUUAGUAGGAUGUUGCACUAUAUAUGAUAUUUAUAAUAUUUUAUUUAAAUUAUAUCAAUAAGAAAAUCACAUAAAAUAGAGGAAAGAAAUCUAAACUAUAUUAUACAUCUUAAAAAAAAUCGAUCGCACUACUAUAAAAUUACCAUAAUAUUGAUUUUCAUGAUUAUAUUUACUUGAAGGAGGAUGAUAAAUAUGUAAAAAAAAAAAAUUAAAAAUAAGAAAGAAUAUCAUAUACAUAAACAUGAAAGAAUAUUUGAGAAUGAAAUAUUUAUGAUACUACACUAUAUAUGAUAUUUAUAAUAUUUCUAUUUCAAAUAUAUCAAUACAAAAUUGACAUAGUAAAGAGGAAAGAAAUCUAAGAUAUAUUAUUCAUUUUUUUUAAAAAUUGAUUGCACUUCUAUAAAAUUAUCUUAAUAUUGAUUUUCAUGACCAUAUUUACGUGGAGGAGGAUAACAAAUAUGUAGAGAAAAAAAUGUUAAAAGUAAGAAAGAAUAUCAAAUGCAUAAACAUGAGAGAAUAUAAAAAGAAAUAUUUUGCCUUCAUAUACCCAUUCUUAUUACAUGCUAUAAUUUACAAACCAAAGAGAUAGAGAAGAGAAGAGAAAGAAUAUUUUUGAAUGGGAGCUUUCAUGAAACAAAUAUGAAUUUAUAUAGGCAAAAUAGAGGAAUACCAUAAGAUAUUAGAAAUUUAUAAAUUAAUGUAUGGGAGUUAUAGACAUAAAAAUUACAAAAGUUAUGGAUACUAUUAAAUGAAUAAAUUUAAGAGGCAUGAGUUAUGAAUAGUAACUCCUUUAAAAAUCAUUAUAUAUAAAAAAACAGUUACUCCUUAUAAAUACUUUAUGUUAAAAAAAACCACUUGAAAUAUCAAAGGAUGUUAUUAUUUUAUAAUUAUAGAAAGAUUUUAAAAAAAUCUUUUAAAAAAAAGGCGCAUUACUUUAUUUAUACACACAUUUAUAACAAAUGAAAGGGAUUAAAAAUUAAAAAAAAAAAGACACAAUUGGAGUGACUUUUCAAUUCCAUGUACAAUAAUUAAUAAUUAAUAUAAUAACUUAUUGGCAAUAAAUUAUUAUGCUAUUAAAGAAUUUAAUGAUGCUUAAUAAAUAGGAUAGAAUAUAAUUAAUUAUUCAAUUAAAAAAUAAGAAAAAAUAUAAUAAAAGGUCAAAAAAAUAAGAAAAAAGAAAAAUAAGAAUGGAGACCUUAGAAGUUUGCCACAUAAACAUAUUCCUAAGCCCCCUUUAUAUACAUAUACAUAUACAUACAUACAUGCAUAUAUAUAUAUAUAUAUAUAUAUAUAUUGAGAGAGAGAGAUUUUUGAAGUUGAAGAUAGAAUUGAAAUUGUGUUUGACCAUAGUAUUUUGGAAUUAAUACUUAGAAUCAAAUGUAUUUAUUUAAAAAAAUAAAUUAAAAGUGAGAAUAAUUUUUUUUAAGAAUAGAAUUUUAUGAAAUGGAGUUAUUUGAUGAAAAUAAAAAAUCUAGAUUUUUUUAAAAAUAAUUAAAUAGUGAAAACAGUGAAACUAAAUUUCUAAAAACUAGUGUACAAACAUUUUUUGCACAUAAAAUUUAAACCUCUUUAUUUUAGGGAUGUAUACACACACACACAUACAUAUACAUAUAUAUAUAUAUAUAUAUAUAUAUAUAUAUAUAUAUAUAUAUAUAUAUAUAUAUUUUUCUCAAUAAACUAGUUGGAACAAUAUGGAUGAAAUAUAUAUAACAUAGAAACUAUCAUUGUAUAUUUUGUGUAGUAUAGGUAUAGUGUGUGUAUAUAUCUUUACAGUAUACACUCCAUAUAUAUUUUGUCAAUUAAAUGGGUGGAUGUUUCAUAUCUCUUAUUUACUUCGGAAAAGGGCUUAAAAUAUCCUUCAAUUAUUGAAAAUGAUGAAAAUAAACCCUCCUUCCAUCUUUGGAUUCUAAAAUACCCUUCCAUCCACCUAUUUGGCCCUAAUUUACCCUUCUUCUUAAUGGACAAAUGAUUAGAAUUUUAACUUAACAUGUGACAGUUUCUUAUUGAUUGAAUUUUUAUUAAUCAAAAAAGAAAAAACUAAUUUAACCCAAAUCACUAAAAUCUACCUAUCCACCGAAUUCAAAUCACUAGAAAUUAGAUUGAGCUUGAUAUUUUCACCAACAAAUUGACCGCCUUCAACAAUUGUUUCUUGUCAAGAAAAAUAAAUAUGAACAAACUACAAGUCACGCAGUCAAUAUUGAAGAAGUAGAUGACAUAACAUCAAUGACAGACCCUUAGUAAUAUGGAAGUAUAUUGGGAAAAGAGAAAAAAAGUAACUGUCUCAACUAAUAUCAAACAACAAACAAUCCAAGAACGAAAAAUUAAAUAUUUUUUAUUUUAAAGAAAAGGAACUGUGAUCACCACCACUAGUUUUGAAGUACAUGGAGAACAAACUAUCAGAGAGCAAUAUGAUAAAGAGAAAAAAUUAUCACAAAUAGUUUUGAAACACCAUGUUUAAUAUUAACAUGAAAUAUCUUCAGCUUCUUGUCUUACUUGUAAUAACAACUUACACGUGAAACAAGAAAUCAAGGUUGUUGUGGUGUUAUUCUAGUGAUUUCUGAAGUCAAUCAAAUUGUUGAUGGAAAUAAAGCUCAAUCAAUUUUGUAGUGAUUUGGAUCAGGUAGGUUUUAGUUAUUUAGGUUAAGUUGAUUUUUAUUUUUUUGAAUUUUUGAUUAAUAAAAAUUCAGCAAAUAAGAAACUGCCACGUAUUAGGUUAAAAUCCUAAUCAUUUGUCUUUAAGGAGAAGGGUAAAAUAGGUCCAAAUAGAUGGAUCAAAGGGUAUUUUAGAGUCCAAAGAUGAAAGAAGGGUAUAUUUGCUCUAUUUUCAAUAGUUGUAGGGCAUUUUAGGUCCUUUUUUGUAUUUACUUUUACUUACCAAAUGUUACUUUGAAGCUGCAAAUUUCUAACCGGUGGAAUUCCAUUCACACACCCCUUAUCAUUAAUAUUUGUUGAAAAAUCAGAAAAGUUGAAAAUUUUUUGUUUGUGAAAAAAAUGGGAGACUGUUAUUAAAUAUAAAACAAAGAACAAGAAGAAUGGAGAGAAGACAAGAGACUUAUUUAUUUCUCAUGAGGAAUUCUUGAGGGGUCAACUAUAAUGAAGGAAACCCCCUUUAUUUAUAGGGAAAAAUUAACCUUAGGGUUUCUAACUUUUUCAUAAAUAGAUAUUUACUAUAUAUGAUAAAGUAGACAUUCACUAUAUAUGGUAAUAUAUUUAUAACCCCCCGCUUGAAUGUCUAAUUGGUAGAUAAUGUGCCUCAUUAAAACUUUACUAGAAAAAAUCCAGUGAAAAAAAAAAUCUAGUGAAGGAAAAAGAGUACACAUCUCUAACAAUACACAUAUAGGAUACCUCAUUAAAAAUCUUACAAGACAAAUCCAAUGGGACAAAACCUCAUAAGAAAAACAGAGUACAACACAUAUUAAAUCCCCCUAGUGAGAACAUCCUUGAGCCUUUGCAUCCCAAUCUUGUGUAUCAUCUUCUUGAAAGUUGCCGUUGAAAGAGACUUAGUGAAUAAAUCAACCACAUUGUCACUUGAACGAAUUUGUCACGUUAAUUUCACAAUUCUUUUUGAGCUUAUGUAUAGAAAAGAUUUGAUGAAGUACCCUUUGUUUUUUCUCCUUUAAUGAAUCCUCCAUUAAGAUGUGCUAUGUAUGCUGCAUUAUCUCUGCAUAAAAUUAUGGGUACAUUUUAUCACAUUUCAAACCAUAUUUUCAUUGAAUGAGAUAUAUCAUGGACCUCAACCAUAUACAUUCUCGACUUACUUCAUGAAUAGCUAUUAUCUCAGCAUGAUUCGAUGAAGUGCUAGAUAGACUGCUUUGUAUAUCUCCAAGAUAUGGCAGUACCACCACAUAUGAACAUGUAUCGUAUUUGAGAUCGAGCUUUAGGUGGGUCAAAUAAGUACCCAAUAUCAGCAUGACCAAUAAAAUUGAGACUGCAAUCUUUAGAGUAAAAUAAGCCCAUAUCGGCAGUCUCUUUAGGUACCUAUAUGUGUUUGAUAUCAUUCCUAGUAGGGGUAGCACUAUACCUUGCUAAUAAAUUAACCGAAAAGGCUCUUCAAGAAUUCCAAUAAUUUUCAAGUUAUAAGCUUAUGCAAUAUAAGGAUUAUAAAUAGUUUUCUAGAAACUUUAUAUGCUUCAAACAUUUUGAAUUCUUAAAAAGUUUUGAUAUGAUUUUGUCAAGUGACAAUAUUCUACAUUUCACGUGUGACAUCUUCAAGUGUCUAGACUGUAAAUCAAAUAAGUUUUAUUUUAUCAAGAUGCAUCUUUUCACGUCACUUGAUAAAAUUUCUACGUCAGCAUGCUUAAAUAAACGUAGAAUUCAGAUCCUCGCAAUCUUUUACAAUAUUGCGCCAAUAUUGUAUCAAAGAUAUUGAUGAUAUAUUAUUUCGUAUCAGUUCACGGCGUGACCUAAUAUUUUGAGAUCUCAUCACUUUAUUAUUUCUAAGUACCCGAACCUCUUAUAAGGUUUCAUGAAGUGUUUUGUCAUAGGCUUUUCAAGAGCACAUUACCUUCUUAUUAUGAUCAUUUGCUCCUUAUCCUUUUCUAGGAUUAUUUAAUUUGGAACUGAUUGGUCAAUCACGCUUCACGCAUGCAUAAACUUUGUCCUUUAGCGACACAAUAGGAGCACUUGCAGCUUAAAUAUGAGAUAUUUUUGGUAUUUGACUUGAAUUAUCUUUUGAAUGAGGAUUUGAUGAUAAUUCAUAACAUAUUUCAUUGCUUCUUAUAAUCUCCCCAUUAUGUUAGGAAGACUAACUUAUAUCCUCUAUCUUCUUUGAGGAAUCCAUCUCUAUGCAUCAUGGUAUAUUUAUUAAUCGUAUACUGCACAUCAAAAUUUUUUAAAUGAAAUAUUUGGUUCAUGACCUUGAACCAAGUGAGGAACAAAUAAUCAUAAUUUAUUGAUCUAAUGAAUACAAGUGCUAUUGUAUGCAACAUAUCAUAUUUCAAACCAACACAUGAAGAUUUAUUCUCCUUAACAAUAGUUUAUCUAUUUAUUCAAGGAAUUCAAUGACAAACCAUCAUCAUCAAGAUGAAUUGUCUUGAUUACACAAUCUAAAAGUAAUGCUCUUAACUCAAUUUUACUGAGCAAACAAUUUAUGAAUGUCAAACUCUAUUGUGAGAAUAAAUGUACAUGUGAUCAUCUUAUUGAUGCAUCUUUUUAAAACAUAUCACAUGAUAGGUGAAUGAACCCUUUUUCACCUUUAUACUUUUCAGAUUUUAAGGGAUUCAAUCCCAAAAUUAGUUGAUCCAACCAAUUUAUCAUGAGAACAAACAAUAUUAAAAGUGAUGUAGAAUUUUUUUGAUUCUUCAAUAUAUAUUGAAUACUCAGUAUGCACAUCUUUGGGAUAUCAUAAACAUUUAUGUCAACUUAUGAACUUAUUUGUACUAGUAAGCUCCAUGUUUACCAUGACAUGUGUCUUCCACUUUAGUAAAUUUGAGAUUUACUAUUACAUGAAUAAAAUUCAGAUUUACUAAUUCAGAAGUAGAUUUUAAAAUAACUCUUCUCAAUUAUUCUUCCUUUUUCGGAGGUGAAUCGUGAUACCAUCACAAUCAAGUGCAUAUUUUCUUUAAUAAGCUUAUCAUUCCCCAGGAAUGGAAUAUAAUUGUGCCUUAAGCCUAUCAAAUUAUGAUAACUUAUAACCUUUUUCAUGAUAUUGCUACUUCAGGAGAAAAUCGAGGCAUACAUAUAAUGUCGAGAAUUUUUCUCUAAUAUAUCUUAUAAUCAUAAUAAACAUUUGAAAAUAUUAUCACUUUUGAUAAUAAUUAUCAUAUUGUCCCACCACACUUAUAUUCAUAAAUUCAAUCACUUGUCUUUUUCAGACAUAUUAUGCACUGAUGUCACAUUCACUUCAGACAACAAAGCAUAUUCAAUAAAAUAAAUUUUAUGUCUUUCACCAAAAACAUAUUAGUUUACCUUAGCCAUUAUUAUAUCAUAAAUAUGGUGCAUUGAGAUUUAAACUCAAUGUCUUAUCCAUAUAAAGACAUCUUAGGCUAUAACUCAAUGGGACUUUGAACACAACAUCUUAUCAUCAUGAUGCAUUUAAAUUUUUAACCCAAUGUAUGACACUCUUAAUGAGACGAGACUUAAAUUUAUCAUCAUAUAUUUUAACAAUAUUGUUCUUCAUGAACAAAUUUAAAGCAUAAAUGGUUCCAAACCAAUUAUUUUUUGCUCAAAUCCAACAAUAAUUAUAUCAUUAGUAGCAAAAGACAAAUAACAUAAGGAAUUACUAACCUUGAAAUUACCUUUAGAUUUAUAAUCUUACCUUGUUUGGUAGAGUCUCGUGCUGAUAACGUGUUAUGAAAUAUAAAACAAAGAACAAGAAGAAUGGAGAGAAAAGAGAUGAGACUUAUUUAUUUCUCAUGAGGAAUUCUUGAGGGGUCAAUUACAAUGAAGGAAACCCCCUUUAUUUAUAGGGAAAUACUAACUUUGGGGUUUCUCACUUUUUCAUAAAUAGAUAUUCACUAUAAAUGAUAAAGUAGACAUUCACUAUGUAUGGUAAGUAGACAUUCACUAUAUAUGGUAAUAUAUUUGUAACAGAGAAGUCUUUCUUGAAAAAGGCGCUACUCAAAUAUUUUAUUUUUAAUAGUAAUUCUUGAGAAAGUUCCUAGGUCCAUGUGACCAAACAUAUUGAACCAGAGAAAGAAACAUGAAUAUGGCAUCUUCAUACGUUAAUCUCAAUCUCCUCAAAUCAUUUGUUUUUUAUUGGGGUGAACAUAUUAGUACUAGUAUAUAUUAAAAUGGUAUAAGAAGGUGUCCAGAGAUAUUAUUCAAGUACAACCGUCAGUAUUACUAGUUGUAGUAGUGACUGCAUUUGCAAAACAUAGAAUAACGUAAAAACAGAAAAGUGAGACGGGGGCCUAUUGAUACUAAAUUCUUUCAUGUUUAGUUCCAGGAGCUCUAGUACAAAUAGAAAGGUUUCAAAAAAAAAAAAAAGAUAAUCACUUUCUAUAAUUGAAGCACUAAAAUUUGCUAAACUAUCAGUUACCAUGUUGAACUCCCUGUAUAUGUGGUACAUAGGUAAAUCAUGGAGUAACUUCAGGAGGCACCUGCAGUCAUCAAUUAUGUGUGAGUAGAUAGGAAGUGGAUCAAAUAAUAUGUUUACCACCUCUAUAGAAUCUACUACUAUUCAAAGAAAAAUAUAUUUGUGUCGGUAUGUCAACUGGAGUUCUUGUAGGAGUGCCAAAAGCUCGCUUAUAAGUAGACAUUUCAGUAGUUGAACCUGAAAAUCCUAAAAACCAAUCACCAAAAUUAGUUCUAAGGACAACCCCAGUAUCUUCCAACUCAAAAUAUAUUGGUGUUGCAACAUCAGUGUGGAGAAAGAUAGUGUCAAGCUGAGCAUGGGGUAGUGUUUGAAACAUAGGGUGAUUGAGGGAAGUGGUUGAUAAUAUUGAAUGAUGUAGCGAUCGAUAUAAUUCAAAACUAAACGUAAUGAUCGUAUGGGGAGAUGAUCGGAAUUUUCUUUUCUCGAAGGUAAUUUUAUUAUGAGUCAACCAUAAAUGCCAAGGCAAAGUUGAAAGGUUUUUAUUUCCUGAAAAUAAUGAGGCAUGCCUUUCUUGAUAGUAUAUUUUGAAAAAAGUCACUACUUGAACGAUAUAUUUUGAACAAUAUAUUAGUUCUUGGGCUUAAAAGUUCUAGGUCCACAUGACCAAAAAUAUUGAACCAUCAAAAUAGAGGGUAUGGAUGCUUAUUAAAAAAGGAUUAUCAUUGACGACAAAUUACUUUAACUUAAUCCAAAUUUUAAAAUUUUCUUUUAAGUCUAAUCAAAUUUGACAAACUUUUGAUCCCUCCUUCUCCUUCUUCCUCUUCAGUUCUUCGGUUUUGAACUACCAACGCCUAACUUCAAACUUAAUUGAAGAUUUUAAAAAAAUAUUUGGAAUGACACUUCAUAAUUAGAUUUAGUGUAAUUAUUAGGAUAACAAAUCUUAGUAAUUAUUUAGACUUGUUAGUUUUUCAUAAUGUAUAAUUAAUAUAGUGUAGUUUCACGGGUGACAACAGACGUGCUUAUAAGCCAAAAUUGAAAAUCAGCAAAAACUUAUAAAUUGAUUCUAACUUAUAAGCAUUUUUUGUUUUGCUGGGUAUGUGUUGAGGUAUGAAUGGAAAAUGAAUAGACACCAAGAGAAAGGAUGCAUGUUAAAAGACUUAUUUUUACUUUGAAUGGUUGUGAUCGUUCUGAUGGGUUGCGACUUUUCCGAAUAAGUGUGUUUGUUUCAAAAUAACACAUUUUUUUCGAACAGAUAUGUUUGCACCUGUUAAAGACUAAAUAUUUAGAGGCUUAGUCUCAUUUCUACUAUUGAAAAUCUGAAAUACUAUUAAAAAUAAAAUGUCGAUUGAUUUUUUCUUUCAUCUUUUGCAUAGUUUUUUCUUCAAAGAAGUAACAGUAAAUGUGAUUCACUCUACUUGUUGAGUUCGCUGAAAUUCUGUAAUUUUUAUUGUCAGUAUUGCAAAUAGUAUUUUAUUUUAUUUUGGAGGAAUUAAUCCAAACUUUGGGCAAUUGUGAAGGGAUUAAAUUCCUUAAAGAAACACAGUUUUCUGUGGGCUUAGAACUGUAUGUUUUUGAUCGAUUUUUUGAUUCUUUUGCAGGAUGAAAAAGCUUAAAGAAUUUAAUUCUUAUUACUUUUUUGUGUUCUACUAUGUCAUGGAUAAAUCAAGAAAAAAUUGAAUAAUUUGUAUUAUGCACACUUCAACUGAAGCGUGGCAGUGAAAGAAAAAGGAAGAAGAAUUAGAACUUGAAAUCUUUUCUAUUACGUUGUGAUAUCAUCACUGAAAAUAAAAUGUUGGAGACUACGACACCAACUGCAUUAAUUAAUAUUGAUGCUUAUUUUUUGUUUUGAAAGUAAAAGUCAAGUGACAGAAAAUUAUGAUUUUGUGUACAUGCGCGCAACAAUUGCAUGCUGUUGUCUUAUAAAUUUGAUUUAUUUAUAAUUUUUGCUUCAUCUUUUAUUCUGAUUUGUGUGGACAUUAGAAUCUUGUAAUUUUCUACUCUAUUUAUUGACUUGGUUUGAAGAACAUAAAACUUUACUGAGUUGAUAAAUUUUUUUACUAUCGAUUUGAAGAAUACAAAAACUUCAUCGACCGAAUAAAAUUUGCUUAUUGUUAACCAGUUCAUUUAAUUCAGUUUGUGUGUUUUCAAACAAAAAUAGUAGAAUCAACUGAUAAUGUUAUGACUUUUGCAUUGAUGGCAACAAAUGUUGUUUUGUCAAGCCGUGUUAUUCCUUCUACGAUUGCAACAAAAAAGUUUUAAAAUUUUUUAGAAAUGACUUUUAAAGAUGGUAUCAAAAUAUGUUGUUCUAUAUGACACUCUUAGUUUGCAGAAGUUUAUUAUUGAGAAAGUUCCAUCUUUGUCGGAUGAGAAAGAGUUCUCUAUGAUACUUGAGGCAUAGAAUCAUUCAUAUUUUCUGUGCAAGAAUAUAUCCUAAAUGGAUUGAAAGAUGGUGAAACACCCUGGGUAUGGGACCCUUAGAAAUUUUUUUGGAUUUCUGAUCUUUGGACAGGAUAUGACUAAACGGUACCAGUCGUAUGUUGGAGUACGAUUCAUAUGGGUCGGUUGUAUCCUGACCACUGUUGUUUGGUGGGUUGGAUUGGAUUCUGGAAUGGGUACGACUUGGGUUAGUAAGAGUCAAAUGGUUGGAUACGGAUCGUUUGGUUUGGGUUUUUCCUUCACUUGGUUUGGGACUUAGUAAAAUAACUUGGAUUUGAGUAUGAGUGGCUCAACAUGAGCUGUAAGCCAAGGUAUGAGUCAUACCAUGGACUUGUAUAGCGGACAAUGUUCAAACCUCUUGUGAUUCUAUUUUGCCAAGGGUACGGGUCAAAGGUAUGAGUCGUGUGCUUUUGGUACGAUUUAGUUUGGGUAAGUCGUACCUUGUACAGUGUUGGGUUCAAGGGGGAGGCCUAGGGUAUGAGUGGUGGGUACCACUCGUAUCGGAGGAUAUGACUGGUAUGGUGAGUCGUACCCACCUGAUGGGAGUUUUAUGUAGUUUUAGUGAGGGCAAUCUAGAUAUUUCUCCACUUAACCUAUUGAGGUUCCACGACUUUUAAUACACUUGGGAGGUUAUUUUCCCUAUUAUUCUAUUCAUUAACACUUAGAAAACACUCUCAAAUUCUCUCUAAGGCUUCUAGGUAAAAGAAGGCUAGGGUUUCACUAAGGUGAUCAAUUUGGGGCUUGUGUUGGUGAUUUCUCUCCAUCAUCCACUCAAUUUAAGGCAUGUACUCCUUCUCUCAUUGUUAGUUCCAGCUCCAGCUAAAGGCAUAUUUUGUAAAUUGUUUUCAUGGAAUAAUUGUUAUAUAAUUUUAGGUUUUCAAAAUAAAUAUUGGUGAUUUUUGUUAUAAUGGCUUGGUUAUGGUUUUCCCAUGUUUUAAUUACGUAUUUAUAUGUUUUAAUAGUGGUUCAGAUACUUGGUUGCAUGGGAAUGGUUAAUUGGUAUUUGAUUUUGGUUUUGGAAAUACUAUGCCCCCAAUAUGUUUGAUAAAAUGCUAUGUGAAUGCUUUUAUUAUGUUAUUGGACUUCUUAAAUGGAACUAUUGGAUGGUAUUGUUUGGUAAUGGAAUCCUAAAUGGUAUAAAUAAUUUAAAUAGUUUGGACUGGUUAAAUGGAAUGAUUUGGUAGUCCUAGUUUAUGGUUAAUUGGACUUCCUUGUGGGGAAUAGUGGAAUCCUCCAAGUAAACAUGUUAAUGAAUAAUUGUGGGAUACAUGGGACUCCUCCAAGCAACUUAAUAAUGAAACACUUGCAGGGUACAUGGGACUCCCCCAAGUUAACUUGGUAAAUGGGUAUAUGGGAAUCCCUUUACCUCUUAAGGUUGGUUAGGGAUAAUACUUGUAAGUUAUAGUCGGUAUGACGAUACCACUAUUAAUAGCCUUAGUUAAUAAUAAAUUAAAUAAUGGAUUGAUUGGUUGGAAAUGGUUUUAAUUGGGCAACAAUGGCGGGGGGGGAUAGCUAACCGUGAAGGUAAGAGUUUGAUGAACGAACACUAAAAAAAUCAUAUUUACCGACAUGAGGGGUUGGUCAUGGCGACCAUAGACGAUACUAUGAGGUACACGAUAAUCCUCUAAGUACACUGUAAAUAUGUAUUAUGGAGGGUAAAGGUACUUGGGAAUCCCUUACUCUUAUGCUAUCUCUAGUUUGUGCGGCUACACACAUCUGGGCCUAUUCAAGGGGUUACACUGGACCUAUAUAGCCCGUGGGUGGUUUUGUAAGGUAAGCUACACAUACUAGGUUAAUGGUUUUAAAUGCCUGCCAAACCCUGUUCUCUUUUUUGGCAUGGUUAUAUAUAUGUAUGGUUUGUAUGCAUAUGGUUUGUUUACUUGGUUUUACUAGAUAACAUUAUUUUAUCCUUAUCCUGAGUUCAUUCCAAAGUUCACCCGCUAACCCAUCCUCGAGCGUCUAUAUCCCCACGUGAUGUAGGAACCGACCAUUCUACUCUUCCUACCUUAUGUUCGGACUCGGGAUCAACUACUGUAUUGAAGUGGUGAGCUUUAAUAUUCCAAAAGGAUCCAUUUCAUGUUCAUGGAUGUUUUUACUAAUUUUGGAUGUUUUAUGGAUAUUGGUUUUGGCUAUGGUUGGGGGCAUGUACCAAUCGGAUAUUACUUUUCUUUUGGUUAGAGGCUAUUAUGGAAGUUUUUUGGGUUGGCAUGGGCGGGGUUGAUAUUGCUGUCAGCCUUAGUAUUGGCAUUGGCAUUGGGGAUGAUAUCGUUGGACUAAAUUUCUCAUUAUUCCAUCCUUUUAUGUUAUGUCAUGGAGCUUGGUUUAGUUAUUGUUUUGGUUUUAGUUUUGGUUUACAAUUUGGUUAUGGUUAUUGAUUGGAUGGACUCGGUUGGGUCGGUCACUGUUAUAGACCUAUCCUAGAGUAUGGAUUUGAAUAGUUACAUGCUAUCUUGUUAUAUGUUUGGAAUUUAUCCAACUCAGGGUAUGUGUUGGAUGAUUGGAUUGGGUAUUGGGGGUAGUCUCUGGUCCUAGUUGGACUUGGGAUACCCAUUACGUUAAGGCCCCCAGUCAAGUCGUGUCAGAUGGUACAAUAGCUAUAGUUCUGCAAAACAUCAAAAAAACUAUGAGAUAGUUUGGACAAGAAAUACUAAUCAAAGAUGCUGGACUAAAGAAGUUUGUGGCUGCCAAAUUUCUAAAAUUUAAGAUGAUUGACAACAAAUCUAUCAUGUCUCAAGUCCAAGAACUGCAGGUUAUCAUUCAUGAUUUGCUUGUUGAAUGUAUGAUUGUUAAUGAUGCUUUUCAAGUGGUAGUCUUUAUCAAAAAGUCACCUCCUUUGUAGAGAGACUUUAAGAAUUACUUGAAACAUAAGCAAAAGAAAUAAAGUUGGAGGAUCUUAUUAUUUGUCUACAGAUUAAAAAAGACAAUAAAGAUGAAAAAAAGUAAUGGAAAGUAAUUAAUUUUAGGAGCAAACCAUGUUGAAACUCCUCCAAAGAAGAAGAAAAGAAAGAAGUCUGAUAAUGAAAAGAAUGUACCAAAAGGAAAGGUUUAAAGGUUGUUGCUACAACUGUGGCAAGUAUGGUAACAUGUUUUCAGAUAAUCGUGCUCCUAAGAAAGAAAAGAGGAAAAGACCCAACAAACAUGAAUAACGUGUUAAAAACUAAUUUUUGCCCCCCAUGACUAAGUUAAUUAUGAGUUUAUUUGAUAUUAAAUAAAAUUACAAUAAUUAUUUUAUUCGAAUAAAAGAUUUUCAAAAUAUUUAUUUAGGUAAUUUUAUCAUUUUAAGAAGCAAUUAUAUAUUUUCCUGUUCGUACAUAUGAAAUCGUACAAUUUUGUUACUUAUAUAAUUAUUUUACAAAAAAUUAGAUUUUAAUCAAGGGCUAUUGUAACACCCUCAAAAUUUUGAGUACUUUAUUUUUGGACCUCCCGUGUUCAAAAUGUCAAUUUUUGACUUAAAUUGAGUUUAGGCAUGUGAAUGGGGUCUUCCAGGAGAGUUUUAGAAUUUUUGGAUGGGGUUCAGGGUCAUUUUGGACUCUGGAGGCAGUGACCCUCCGCUAUAUCCCCGUGUCAUGGAGUAUACAUUUCGAGAUAGCCAUUGUGUCAUAGAGGUUAGCCUCCGCGAUAGGAAGCAUGGGAUAGAGGUUAGCCUCCGUGAUAAGGUUUGUGUCACCCCGCUAUGUAAAAUCUAUGUAGUUUUUGUUUUGUUCACUUGGGAUGAGGGGUAUUGGGGUCUUUAUACCUAUGUAUGACCCUUAAGCACAAUAUAGCCUAUUACUUUUAAUUUUAAGAUAUUAAAUUCCCCAAUUACACUCUUACAUUUAAAACCUCAAGAAUGCAUAAGGAUUCAUCAUACAUUCAUCCUCUGGGUCCCAAGCUCCUAAUUACUUUCUAAAUCUCAUGUAUCUAAGGUAUGUUACUCUUGCCCCACUAUUAUUUUAUAAAAAUCAUGUGUUUAUAAUUGUUCCCAUGUGAUUAAAUUGUGGUUUGUGAAUAUGGGUUUGAGGGUUUUGGAAUAAUGCACCUUGAAUUGAUUUCCUAUGGUUUUAAUGCAAUUGUUCAUGCUUUGUUUCCAUAGUUUGAACUAAUGGGGUACAUGGGUGUGGGAAUUGGAAUGGGGGUCAAGGUAUUCCCCUUUAUUAAUGUUUUUGUACUUGAAAUUGGUCUUGGAUAAUUGUAUUCCCUCAACCCAUUUGUGAAAUUGGUUUUGAAAUAUGAUUUGUCACUUGGUUUAAUUUACUCACCUAUACUAUUGCAUUACAUAAAUGAUUAAAUAUUAAACAUGGAUUUUGAAGGCCUUAUUGGCCGUGUUUUGACUGAAAUUGAAACCUUGGGGGUCGAGGCAUUCACCUAAGUUGAUUUGAUAAACUAAAGAGGGUUGAGGAAUUCCCCAAGUUAAUGCUAUUGAAAUAACAUAAUUGUAAUCUUGCAAGUGAAUGGUAUGACGAUACCUAUGGUAUGGGUUAUGUGGAACUUGUUUUAAUUUAGACUUAAUGGGGGUUAUUUAUCUAAGUCAUGAACGUGUGGGUCUUGAAUGACUUGUAUUGGAAACUCAUGUUUGCCGACGUGAGGGUUGGUCUUGAUGACUGCGUGCUUGGUUCAUACAACCGAUAUAUUUGUAUCCUAGAUUGGUGUGUCUUCCUUGAUACCUCCAGUUCAUGUGGCUAAUACGUAUUGGGGCCCUUUCAGCAGGGGAAGCUGAACCUAUAUAGCCCAUAUAUAUAUAUAUAUAUAUAUAUAUAUAUGAUUGUGUGCAUUGGAUUUGAAUGAUUUUAAAAUAUUGAUCAUGGAAUUAUUUUAUCCUUGUUCCCUGAGUUACAUGGUAUUGCUCAUCCCACUAACCGUCUAUAGAUGCUAUAUCCCAACGCGAUGCUGGAACCAAAAAUACUUCUACUUUUUCUACACAGUGACUAGGUGAUCAUUGGAUAACUUGUGAGUCAGAUAGAAGUGGUGAGCUUUUAUACUUUGGAAGAACUUAUUUUAUGAUUUGAUUUUCUUAUGUCAUAUAUUUUCCUUUGGUCUAAUUUUAGCUACCGGUGGGGGCAUAUCCCAACCUAAAUUGAUUUGGUUUUAGUUAGAGACUUUGUGGAUUACUGUGGACUUGGGAUUGGUUGUUCAAUUCUUAGAAUUCUUUUGUGUCAUACUUAUCUAUCUUAUUUUACAUUUGAAAUUUUGUUGUUAUACUUAUUGUGUUCUGGUUGACUAGGCGAAAGGGCUGAUCUCUGAUCCUCGAUGGACAUAAGAUACCCAUCAAAAUCAGGCACUAGUUUGGAUACUGAUAAAUUUGGUAUCAAAGAGUAGGUUUAUGGUUAAUUGGGUGUCCACAAAGUCAUAUCAAGUAGAGUCUCUUUUAUGGGUAUGUAGCACUCCACACUUAUAAGAGAGAGCCUAUGAGGCAUUUAGGAAUGUUUCCCUUUCUUGUUGUCUUAAUUUUGGGCUAUUGAGUCUAAGGUAUUUGAUUCCUCUAACUCCCACUUAUUUGCCUUUCAGAUCAUGCCUCCUAGAAGAUUUGAAGCCCAUGGAAACUCAUCUGUCCCGCCUGAGGACAAUGUGGGUGGAUCUCAUCCAAUUUAUGGGGUAUAGACCUGGUCAAGGGUUACUUCUUUUGAUUGUCCCAUAGAGUUCCGCCUGUCUCCGUUGAUCCUUCUCCAACUGAUGGCACUCUUACUCUGUUACCUCAAGGAGAUAUUACUAAUCCUGAGUUUUUUCAAUCUAUUCAUCUGUUGACCUAGUUGGUGAUAUCUCAGUCAUGUCAUAUGGGUUCUACUGGUAUUGCUGGGAGUUCAUCUACGACCACUAGAGUAGGAUAGCUCAUGAGGUUGGGCCCUCCAACUUCCACUGGUAGUAAGGUUAAGGAGGAUCCUCAAGGUUUUAUAGAUGAGAUGGAGAAGAUCUUUCGGUUUAUGUAUGCUACUGAUGUAGAAGGUGUAAAGUUCGUUGCUUAUCAUUUGAAGGAUGUAGCGUAUCAGUGGUAUGAAGAGUAGGAUUAGUCUAGGGAUGAUGAUGUAGAGGUGAAAUUAUAGGAUAACUUUUCUAGUGCCUUUAUGGAUUGCUUCUUUCCUCAAGAGUUUAGGGAGGUGAAAGCUGAGGAGUUAGUAAAUUUGAAGCAAAGAAAAAUGACUGCUUAAGAGUAUGCAUUGAAGUUUCAUCAACUGUCCUGUCAUUAUUUGGAGUUAGUAACUAGCAUGUGGGCUACAAUGAGUAAGUUUUCUUCUGGGUUAUCCCAUGAUUUUAUUUUGGAGAGCAAGAAUGCCUUAUUGAACAAGAAUAUGGACAUCUCUAGACUUGUGAUGUAUAUACAACAAGUUGAAGAGGAAUUGAAGAAGCAAGUAGAGAUAGAGGAGAGGUAGAGUAAGAAGUUUUGAUAUUCAUAUCAUAGUGAAGGUCAACAGAAGGGUGAUAGAGAUGGUAGAAAAUGUUCUAAGAAAAAAUGGGGCAAUUUGGGUUCUUAUUCGACGGGCAGUGCUCCUAAUCCUAAGCCGUUCGGUGGUUGACGCUUUCAGAGAAAUAAUGGGUUUAAGGCACAAGGUACCCAAUCUCAGGCCAGUGGGACCAAGUCUGCCUGAUCACAUCCUCCUUGUAUAUUUUAUGGAUAUUUACACCAUGGUUUUUGUGAUGAGAGGAGGAAUAAGUAUUUUAGGUGUGGCUAGCCUGGCCAUAUUUAGAGGAACUGUCCUUCAGGUGACGUUGCUACAGGGGAUAAUAAGGUCCCGAUUUCUAUUUCUUCGACUCCUUCCCCAAGGAGUGUUACUUCUGGCUUCGACACUGGUUGGAAUUGUUUAUAUGCUCUUGCUACCUAUCAGAUUCUAAGGCAUCUCUUAAUAUUGUUAUCGGUAUGAAACUCCUCUCUCGUAUUGUAUACUGUUUGCUUUAUAUGGGGUCUACCUUUUCUUAUAUGACUCCAUUUGUGACUGUGCAUUUUGGUUUUGGUCUCGAAUAUAUUUUAGACCUCUAUUCUAUUUCUACCUCGGUGGGUGAGUCGAUGGUUGCUAGAAGGGUCUAUAGGAGUUGUGUGGUAUCUGUUGGUGGUAGGGAGGCAUUGUUUGUUUUUAUUGAAUUAGACAUGCUAGAUUUUGAAGUCAUCUUAGGGAUAGAUUAGUUGCAUUCGUGCUAUGCCUCUUUAGACUGUCGAAUUCAUAAAGUCAUUUCAAACUCCCGAUUGAGUCGGUUAUUGAGUGGGAAGGGAAUUCUCUAGUGCCUAAGGGAAGGUGCAAUCAUAUCUUAGAACCUGGAAAUUGAUUUCCAAGGGGUGUCUUUAUCAUUUGGUUUGGGUUAAAUAUUCUAACUCGAAGGUCCUUCCUUAUAAUUAAUUCUUGUGGUUAGUAAGUUUCCUAAGGUUUUCCUUAAUGAUCUUUCGAGCGUUCCUCCUAAUAGGGAAAUUGAGUUUGGGAUCGAUCUUCUUCUGCACACUCAUCCUAUUCUAUCCCUGCUUAUAGAAUGGCUCCAGUUGAGUUGAAGAAACCUAAGGAGCAGUUGAAACAUCUUCUUGACAAGGGUUUUAUCCGCCCUAGUGUAUCUCUAUGGGGUGCUCUUGUUCUUUUUGUGCAUAAGAAGGAUGGUUCUCUUCAAAUGUAUAUUAAUUACCGUUAGUUGAAUAAGGCCACAAUGAAGAAUAAAUAUCCUCUUCCUAGAAUUGAUCACUUGUUUGACCAACUUUAGGGUGCUAAGUAUUUCUCCAAGAUUGAUUAGUUAAGGAUUAGGGAGAAAGAUAUCCCUAAGACUGCCUUUCAUACUCGAUAAGGAAAUUUUAAGUUCUCGAUCAUAUCUUUUGGGUUGACCAAUGCCCCAGUGGCAUUUGGAUCUUAUGAACCAAAUCUUCCUUUAGUUCUUUGAUUUAUUCGUAAUUGUAUUUAUUGAUGAUAUUUUGGUGUAUUCCAAGAGUGAGGCAGAUCAUGUCGAUCACCUCCCCAUAGUAUUGCAGACUUUCAAGGAUCAAUAGUUGUAUGCUAAGUUCUCAAAGUGCGAGUUCUGGUUGAAUGUUGUUACUCUUCUGGGUCAUAUUAUUUCUGGCAAAGGAUUCACGCUGGAUCCACAGAAAGUUACAAUGGCUAAGAAAUGGCCUAGACCCACUACUCCAAUCGAUAUUCAGAGCUUUUUGGGUUUAGCCGGUUAUUAUAAGAGGUUUGUGGAGAGCUUCUCGUUGAUUGUUGCACCUUUUACUAGGUUGACUUAGAAAAAGGUCAAGUUUUUGUAGUUAGAUGCUUGUGAAAGUAGUUUUGAGAAGCUGAAGGAUAAGUUGACUUUUGCACCGGUCUUGACCUUGCCUGAGGGUACUGAUGGAUUCAUGGUUUAUUGUGAUGUAUCCCACGUGGGACUCGAUUUUAUGUUGAUAUAUCAUGGUAAGAUGGUGGCCUAUGCUUCCAGGAAGUUGAAAGUUCAUGAAAAGAAUUAUUGAAAUCAUGACUUGGAUUUGUUAGUUGUGGUUUUCGCAUUGAAUGUUUAGCGACAUUACUUGUAUGGAUUUCAUUUUGACAUUUAUUCUGAUCAAAGAGCCUUAAGUAUGUGUUCACUCGGAAGUAGUUGAAUCUCAGGCAAAGGAGAUAGCUUGAGUUGCUUAAAGACUACAACAUGAGUCUCCAUUAUCAUCCAGGUAAGGCUAAGAUGGUUGCUAAUUCUCUUAGCAGGUUAUCUAUGGGGAGUCUAUCUCAUGUGGAUGAAAAGAAACAUGAAUUGGUGAAAUAUAUUCACUAUUUGGCUAACCUUGGAGUUAUUCUCUUAGGUUGCAUUUGUUUUUAUUAAGAUUCAGACAUUUGAAUCUGAAUGCAUAUCUGUUCUGAUUAAGAUGUUGUCUUCAGAUCUAAAAACUGAAUGGUUACGACUAUUUGAUUUUCAUUAUCUGCAUAUGCAAAAUUUAUUUAUUUGCAUAUAUAAUAAAAAAUAUAAUUCAAAUAAGAAAUAAUUAUACAUUAGAAAAAUAUUUAAUUCAAAACAAUAAAAGUAUUGUUUGAUUGAAAGAAAUAUUUAUAUUUGCUAGUGAUAAUGGAGAUAGUUUGUAAUGGCGGUGGUGAUGGUAAUAAUUGAUGUUAGUGAUUAGUAAUGUUUGUGGUGACAGUUGUGAUGUAGAGAUUUUUGGUAUUUAGUGAUUGUUACAAUGGUGGCAAUUGAUAGUGGUGGCGGUAGUGAUGUAAAGUUGGUUGAUGUUAGUAGUUGGAGGUGUUGAUUGUAAUAGCUUAAAAAUGAACGCAUGAUGGUUGACGAUGUGUUAGUAGUAGUUAGAGAUGAUGUUAGAUGUGAUGGUGGAGAUGAUUAUUAGUACAGAUAUACUGUAACGAUGGUGGUGGUUGAAGCAGUGCUAGAAAAGGCGACACUAGUGACAAUGAUAGUGGUGGUCGAAGAAUGUGUGGAUGCUGAUGAUGUGGUCGUGGCAGUUAGCGGUGGCUUUAAUUCUGAUAGAUGAGUUAGUUAGUAGUUGGGAGUCAUCGAUAGUGGUUGAUGAUGGUGUUGGUGUUGGUGUUGGCAUUGAUGUCGACAUUGGUGAUAACGACGGAUAUAAUUAAACCAAUAAAAGUGAUAGAUAUGGUAGCAGCUAAGAAUAGUGGUUAGUAGCAUUUAUGAUUAUGGAUGGUGGUUUUGAUGGUGGAGGUGGUUGUUGUUGGUAGUUAGGUGGUGGUUGACAAUGGUAGUGGUGGGAGAGGGGGUAGUGGUGGUAAAUGAUGAUUAUGGAUAGAGUGGUGGUGAAUAUUAUCCAACAUAAAAAUACCUCUUAAUGAUUAAGACUUAGUUCCAGAUCUGAAUGAUUAAGAACUAUUCAGACCUAUUAAUAGCCAAAAUCUUAAUGAAAAAUAAAUGCACUUAAUGGUCUGAAGUCUGAAUCAUUCAGAUUUAGCCCUCAUAAAGUGCAAACAAAUGAGACCUUAGACAGUAAAGAUGGAGUUGUGUUUGUUCAAGAGGUGGUGAAGUCAUCUCUCGAUGUUGAGGUAAAAGAGAAGAAGUCUUUGGACCCUAUCUUGAUGCAAAUCAAGGAUGAUGUGGGCCAACAGAAAGUUAUGGCUUUUGAAAUUGGUCAUGAUGGUAUUUUGAGGUACCAAGGGAGGUUGUGUGUUCCUGAUGUGGACGAGUUACGAUGAAGAAUUUUGGUUGAGGCUCAUGAGUUAAGGUACACUGUUCAUCCGGGUUUGACAAAGAUGUACCAUGAUUUGAAGGAGAUUUAUUGGUGGAAUAACAUGAAAAGAGAUAUGGCUAAUUUUGUGACUAAGUUCAUUGUUUGUCAGCAAGUGAAGGUGGAACACUUGAGGCCUGGAGGGUUAUCUCAAGAGAUUGAGCUGCCCGUGUGGAAAUAUGAGGUGAUUAAUAUAGACUUUUUUACAGUUCUUCCGCUAUCUCGUAACCAGUUUGACUCCAGUUGGGUCAUCGUGGAUAGGAUGACUAAGUUUGCGCACUUCUUGCCAGUGAAGACUAAUUUCUCUGCUGAGGAUUAUGCAUAGUUGUUCAUUCAAGUAAUCAUAAAAUUUCAUGGUACUCCAGUUUUUAUUAUUUUACAUCGUGGUACGUAGUUAUCAUCUCACAUUUGGCAUUCUUUACUGAGAGGUUUGGGGACUAAGGUAAACCUUAGCACCGCUUUCUACCCUCAGAUGGAUGGACAAGCAGAGAGGACGAUUCAUACUUUCGAAGAUAUGCUUCGAGCUUCUGUACUUGACUUUAGUGGUAGUUGGGUUGACCAUUUGCCUCUCAUAUAGUUUACGUACAAUAAUAGCUAUCACUCUAGUAUUGGCAUGGCUCUGUUUGAGGCUUUGUAUGGUAAGGAGGUCUAAUAUUGUGGUUUGAAAUUUGUGAGGCUGGAUUGUUUGGUCCUGACUUGGUUCAUCAUGCUAUUAAGAAGGUAAAGGUGAUUCAGGAUUGACAUGACCCGAACAAGGCCUUGUCAUAAUGGGCAUCUCAAGUCCAACCAGGACCGGAGACCAUACCCGUUACCCAACCCAACCAACCAACAUAUACCUUAAGUCGGAUAAAUUCCGAACAUAUUACAAGAUAGCGUUUUAUAUAAUUCCAGACUUUGGGAUAGAUCUAUGAUCGUGACCAACCCAAGCAAGUCCAACCAUCUAAUACCAACCAGCAACCACAACCAAACUGAUAUAAUAACCAAGUUCAUGUCCAUAACAUAACAUAAUAGGAUGGAACAAUCAUAAAUAUAGUCAAAAGGUAUUAGCCCCAAUACUAAUGGCAAUACUACGGCUAAUACCAAUGCCGACACCGCCCACACCAACCCAUAGUAGUUCAAUAAAGCCUCUAACUAAAAGUAAAACAAUAUCCGGCUGGGAUAUGCCCCCAACCAUAGACAAAACCAAUGUCUACGAAAUAACCAAAGUAUGUAAAGACAUCCAUGAUAUGAAAUGGAGCCUUCCGAAGUAUGGAAGAUCACCACUUCAAUCCAACAACUGAUCCCGAAUUUGAUCGAUAAGCAAGAAGAGUAGAAUGGUCAAUUCCUGUAUCGCGUAGGGAUACAGUCGCCUGAAGACGGGUUAGCGGGUGAACGCUAGCAAGUACUUAGGAUAAGGAUAAUACCAAACUUUAAAACAAAGUAAAAACCCAUAUUCAUUCACAACCAUACAUAUAUAUGUAAUCCAUGCCAGGAAAUAGAAUCGGGUUUAGCAUGCCUUUAAAACCAUUAACCUGGGUAUGUGUAGCUUAACCAUCCUAGAACCACCCACGGGCUAUAUGGAUCCACUGUAACCCCCUGAACGGCCCUCGAUGCGUAUAGCUGCAUGAAUCGGAGAUAACAUAGGGGUAGGGGAUUCUCGUGUACCCUUCGCCCUCUAUGAUACAUAUGUACAACUGUACUUAGGGGAUUCCUAUGUACCCCGUAAGUAUCAUAUACACCAUGACCAAUCCUCAUGUCGGCAAAUAGAGUUUCCAGUGUCCAUCCAUUGGACUCACACCUUCACGGUUAGCUAUCACACCCCACGAUUAUUGCCCAAUUAAAACCAUUAUCACAUAACCUAAACCACCAUUCCAUUUACUAUUAACCAAGGCUAUAAGUAAUGGUAUCUUCAUAACAACUAUAGCUUACAAGCAAUGUCCUUAGCCAAUCUUUUGGAGAAGAAGGGAUUCCCAUGUACCCAUAGAUUACAUUAUUUAGUUGCUUGGGGGAUUCUCAUGUACCCCACAAGAUGUUCAUUAUUAUGUUUUCUUGGGGGAUUCCUCAUAUGCCACAAGGAUGUUCAAUUAACACAUAACCAUAGCCACCAAGACCUUACUAUUUAACCACUCCAAACCAUUUAUACCAUUUAGGGUUCAUUACCAAGUUGUACCAUGACAUAGUUGCAUUAAAAGUCCAACACUAUAGUAAAUGCAUUCUCGUAGGCAUUUUAUCAAAAUUUUGUGGGCAUAGUGUUUCCAAAGCCAAUACCAAGUACAUUUUAACCAUUCCCAUCCAAUAAAAAAUUCAAACCAUCAUUAUAAUAUGAAAGCCAUAUGUAAAAGACAUGGGAAAACCAUAACCAACCAUUAUAACCAAAACCUCUACUUAUAUUUGAAAACCUAAAACCAUUCAAAAAUUAUACCAUGAAAACAAUUCACAUAACAUACCUUUAAUUGGAACUAACAAUGAGGGAGGAUUUACAUGCCUUAGAGAUGAAGAUAGAAAAAUCACCCUUAUGAGUCUCAAAUUGAUCCUAUUGAUGAAACCCUAGCCUUUCCUGAUCCAAGAGCCUUUGAGAGAAUUUUAGAGAGUUUCUAAAUGUUUAAGAUUAGAAAUAUUAGGGUAAAUGAUGUCCAAAGAAUGAUAUAAGUCAUGGGCCCCUUUGAGGUUAAGAGGGGAAGUGUCCAGAUUACCCCCAACUUCAACUGUAUAAAAUUCCCGUAGGAGGGUACGACUCCAUCAUGCAACCCGUACUAUAUCAUACGAGUGGUACCCACCACUCGUACCCUAGGCAUCCUUUGGAACUCAAACACUGUUCAACAUACAACUACCAAGACCCAAUUGUACCCAAGCCUUCAACAAGUACCCUUAACCAGUACCUUAGGCUAAAUAGGAUCUCCUAGGCUAGACUUAGGGCCCUAUACAACUUAACAUCUUAUCACUCGUACCCGAUUAUACGACUAGCAUGAUCUAUUCAUACCUUGGGCAGAACUCAUCCAACCUACAUUGGUUAACAUAUAAGAGAAGGGGACCCUAAACUGUAUCCUAACAUACACCUAGUACCUUCUGGUCGUAUGAUGUCCAGAAGCCAAAAACUCAGGAAAUUUCUAAGGAUAAAAACUUAGGGUGUUUCAGUUUCCACCACUAGGAUCAUUCAUCCCCGAAUGAUGGAACAAGGCAGUAUAAGAACGAUUUACACCCCUUAGAUGCUUCAACUCUUACCUUUAACAAAAAAUGCAAGGAAAUCAAUAUUUCUUUUAAUUAAAAACCAGAAAAUAAGGAUGUUAUGAAGAACACAUACCUUAAGCAUGAAUAUCCAGAUUGUAAAACAAGUGCAAAUACUUUGAAUUCAUGUCCUCUUCCGCCUCCCAAGUAGCCUCUUCCACCUUGUGGUUCCUCCAUAGAACCUUAACCAAAGCUACAUCCUUGGUCUACAACCAACGAAUCUACAGAUCCAAGAUCUCAAUCGGGAUCUCUUCAUAAGAUAGAGAAUCCAAAACACCCAAACCUUUCAAAGGAAUAAUCGAUGAAGGAUCACCUAUACACUUUCUCAACAUAGACACAUGGAAUACCAGAUGAAUGAAGCUCAAACUAGAAGACAACUCUAACUCAUAAGGAAUAUUACCAACCCUUCUCAAAACAACAUAAGGACCAAAAUACCAAGGACUAAGAUUCCCCUUUUCCCAAACCGCAUCACUCCCUUCAUGGGAUACACAUUUAGGAAUACCUUAUCCCCAACCUCAAACUCCAAAUCUCUAUGGCUUACAUCCGCAUAGGACUUUUGUUGACUUUGUGAAUUUUUAUGAAUAUCUCGAAUGAACUUUACCUUUUCCAUAUCCUGAUAUUUUGGACCAAACAUAUCUGUCUCACCAAGAUCCAACUACCCAAUAGGAGAUCUAUACCUUCUAUCAUACAAUGCCUCAUAAAGGGCCAUCCCAAUGCUAGAAUGAUAGCUCUAUUCUAACCAAACUCUACAAAAGGUAGAUGCUCAACCCAAUUACCACCAUAGUCGAUAACACACACACAAAGCAUAUCCUUUAAUGUCUGAAUAGUCCUUUCUGCUUGCCCAUCUAUUUGUGGGUGAAAAGCAGUACUCAUCCUACCCUUAGUAUCCAACCUUUUAUGAAAUAACCACCAAAAGUGAGAUGAAAACUACGUACCACGAUUAAAAAUAAUUGAAAUAGGUAACUCAUGCAUCUUUAAAAUCUCAUUAAGAUACAACCUUGCAUAAUCCUUAGCCGAAAAGUUAGUCCUCACUAGAAAAAAGUUAGUCCUCACUAGAAAAAAGUGAGCCGACUUUGUCAUCCUAUCCAUGAUGACCUAAACCAAAUCGAAUUAAUUCUGAGAUCAAGGAAGAUCAGUGACAAAAUCCAUAUUGAUCAACUCCCAUUUCCAUUUUGGCAAUUCAAUUUCUUUAUACAACCCUCCAGGUCUCAUGUGCUCAACUUUUACUUGAGCAUACACUUGGCUACAAAAUCAGUCAUAUUCCUCUUUAUACCAUUUCACCAAUACAUCUCAUUGAGAUUAUUAUAUAUUUUGGUCAAACCACGAUGAACAACAUUGAAUGAUUCAUGCACCUCUUCCAAGAUCUUUUCUCAUAAACCAUCAACGUCAAGAACACAUAACCUCCUUUGCUACCACAAGGUACCAUUACCACUGAUCUCAAAUACCUUCACCUUUUGACCACCUAUAUCACACUUUAUUUUUAAUAAGAAAAGGAUCUAGCAUUUGUUUUUUCUUGAUAUCUGCACCAAGAGACGGUCGAAUCACUUUCUGUACCAGCACACCACCAUCUUUGAAGUCUAAGAGGAAAAUUCUAAGAUUAGCCAAGCGGUGAAUAUCUUUCACCAAUUCCUACUUCUCCUUAUCCAUAUGAGCUAAACUCCCCAUAGAUAACCUAUUAAGAGAAUCAGAAACCACAUUAGAUUUACCUGGGUGGUAGUGAAGACUCAUGUCAUAGUCCUUAAGAAGCUCAAGCCAUCUCCUCUUCCUAAAAUUAAGCUCUUUUUGAGUGAACACAUAUUGCAGACUUUUAUGAUAAAAAAAGAUGUCCACAUGCACUCCAUACAGAUAGUGCCACCAAAUUAUCAAUGUAAACACCAUCUAUAAAAUCUCUAAAUUAUGAGUAGGAUAAUUACUCUCAUGCACCUUCAAUUACCUAGAAGCAUAGGCUAUCUGUAAUACCCUGAAAAUCCAAACCAAUGUUUGAGGCAUGUUUCAACCUCAUGCAAAGACCUUAUAAUUCUGUUUUUGUUUUAUGAGUGAGUAUGAUGUAUCUUAAGGCUUUAAAUCACUCCCACCUAUUAGACGGAUUAAAAUAUUCCUUACCAAUUGAGUUUUAUGAAGAAUGUUACUUUAGUCAACUUCAAACGAGAAUAUCUUUUGAUCUACAGUGAAUUUUCUAGCUCAAGACCCACAAGCUGUAGGAAAUUGAAUUAUCUUUCUAACGAUACCAAUUUUUCCUAAAUUUGAUAUGCAGGUGAGAAAUUAUGACAUUUUUUAUGAAAAAUAGCAGCCUAACGCGAUAAGGCCGCAUCACGGUAUAGCCAAAAUCAUUUUCAUCCUUUUUUUAGUGGACCACCACAAUAACACUGUAUCGCAACAAAGGGAAAUUUCACGUCAGUAGGGUACCACAAUGGCACCGCAUCGCGCCAAGGGGCAAUUUCACGUCAGUAGGGUACCACAAUGGCACCACAUCGCGCCAAGGUUCCAGUUCAGAAUUGUUCAUUUCCAGUGGCGCAACACGAUAGCACCACAUUGCGCCAUUGGGGAAAAUAGGUGUUGUCAGUUUUCAGUGGCCCAAUGUGAUAAGCACUACAUCGUGCCAUAGCUAAAAAUGAGGAUUUCUAGUUUCGCGAUUUAAAUUCCAUGGACCGUUUUUCUUUUACUUAGACCACAAAUUUAUCCAAAACACAAAAUGAAAACCCUAAAGGGACAUUAGGUGCCCCAUUACUCAUAAUUUCUCUCUAAGAAACUAAUCUUCUCUUAAGAACAAGCCCUAGCCUUCAAAAUUCAAGAUCUAAUCUCAAGAAAAACCCCAAGAACUCUCACGAAUUCAUCAAUCCAGGUAUGUUAAAUGUUUAUCCAUUUGUCCCUUUCACCCAUAGAGUCCACGUAUCUAAUUUUAAAUUCAAAAUUGUGAUCUUUACAAGUAAUUGUGCUCUUUAAUUAUGAUUUUAACCAUGAAUUCCCAUGAAUUGAAACUCUAUACCAUGUUUACAUGAAAUUAUUGUUGUUACCAAACCCCACAUGUAUGAAUAAUUUUAUUUGUUGAUUUAAACCAUAAUUAGAGAUGUUGAUGUUGAAAUCAUGCUAUUACUACAGGUUUUAAACUAUUCCCAUGCUUAGCUUACACUAUACAUACAAGCAUUUGAUGAAAUGCCUACAAGAAUGAAUUUUGAAUAAAUGCUUUCAUAUUAUGUCCCCAAAGUUUUAGCACUAUUUUGCUAUCAUUGCUAUCAAGUCCUGGGGGUUGUGAGUACCCAAAAACUUAGCUGUUUACUUAGCCUCAGUAUCUUUAGAUUAGUUUCAGACAUAUUAUGAGCAAUAUCAGUUCAGUCAGUCAUCAUGAUCAGUUAAACUUUAAGCAAUUCAGUAAUCCAAGUUAGUUUAGUUGGGAGUAGGAUUUAGCACAGAUCGAGUGCUGGGAUGACAACUUCCCUUUCAGUUAGGCAGAAUUAUUAGUAGUCAUCCCUGCACUCCAGAACUACGUAGCCAUCAUAGGAAUUAAGGAGUCACCCAUCAAUUUAGGCUUGACUACCUCCCAGGGGUCACCUGUUAGAUUAGGAUUGACACUCUUAGUCCUUCGGCACAGUAUAUCAGUGGAUCCACAAAACCAGUAUUAGUACCCGUGGUACGGUACUAGCACCCUUCCAACUGGGGUCACAGGUUGGACCCCAAUUUAUUUAUUGGGGCAUGUCGGUUAGAUGAUAGCUCCCACAGUCUCAGUUCAGUAUUCAGUAUACUUUAGUUCAGGCUUGUAUUGACCAUAGCAUAUAGAUAUUAGUUAUUCAGUUAUCAGAUUUCAGUAAUUCAAUUUACAGAUUAUAUUUAGAACAUAAUUUAUGAUUGGUCAUGCAUUCUUAGUAUUUACAGAUUUCAUGCAUUCUAUUCAGUACUUCAUGCUAUUCAUUUAAUCAGUUAUUACUUCUGUACACAAAUCCAUGCAUAUCUGCCUACCUCAUUUAGCAUACCAGUACAUUCAAAGUACUGAUCGCAUACUCAUUUCUUGCACUAUGAUGAAUCAUAUCAUAGGUUUGGAUGCUCAAUUCUCGGAUCGCACAUAGACAUUCUAGAUUUUUAGCUGUAGCAGUGAUGAGUCCUCAUACUUCAAGGACAUGAUCUAUUUAUCUUAGUUAUUUCACUAGCUCAGUAUUUUCCAUUCAGAUAGAAUUAGUUGGGGGUUUAUCCCAUCAGCUCUGUAGUCAGUCAAUAGAGGCUUUUCAGACUAGUACUGUUAGUCAGUUAGUUUUGUUAUUAUUUUACUAGUUUCAGACAGUUGUUUCCAGCAGUUGUUUCAAGAUGUAUGAUCCAGUAAUGAUUUUAUUUGCUAAAACCUUAUGGCUUAUCAUUUGUUUUUUUGCAUAUGUUAUUAUAUUAUUCAGUGCUCACAGCAGGUAUCGGAUCAUGGGUUAGUUUAUGGUCCCUCGGGAUUGUACACACUGUGUGACGCCUAGGGUGUAUUCUCAAGGAGUUACACUCUCACCUUACCAUGCUGCAUCAAAACACAACUAAGUUCCACCGGACAUGCAUCACAAUAUACCACAAACACCUUACUGCCUUCAGACAGAGUCAAAAUUGGAGCCAAAGUUAGCUUAUUCUUCAGUUUCUUGAAAUUACCCUCAUAAGAAUACGACCAAGAGAACUUUUCCUUCUUCUGAGUCAACUUAGUCAAUGGGCAGCUAUAGUAAAAAAAAACUUUCCAUAAACCUCCUAUAGUACCCAGCCGAACCCAAGAAUCUCUAAAUGUCGAUUGGAUUCGUAGGUUUAGGCCAAUUUUUAACCACCGCAACCUUUUAUAAAUCCACCAUGAUCCCCGCAUAUGACCCAUAAAAAUGACAACGUUCAACCAGAAUUCACACUUUAAGAAUUUGGCAUACAACCACUGAUCCUUCAAGGUCUGCAACACAACACGAAGGUGAUUGGCAUUAUCCACCUCACUCUUAGAAUACACCAAGAUGUCAUCUAUGAACAGUACAAAUAGAUCCAGAAACUAACAAAAAAUGCUAUUCAUCAAAUCCAUAAAUGCCGUCGGGGCAUUGGUCAACACAAAGGACAUCACCAAAAACUCAAAGUGCCCAUAAUAAGUACAAAAAGUUAUCUUAGGAAUAUCUACCUUCCUAAUUUUAAGCUGAUGAUACCUCGACCGAAGAUCUAUCUUAGAAAUGAAUUUGGCACCUUGCCACUGAUCAAACAAGUUAUUUGUCCUUAGAAGAAGAUACUUGUUCUUAACCAUCACCUUAUUUAACUGCCGAUAGUCAAUGCACAUCCGAAGGAACCAUCCUUCUUAUACACGAAUAACAUUGGUGCACCCCACAGGGAUAUACUAAGAUGGAUGAAACCCUUAUCCAAAAGAUCCUUAAGUUGCUUUUUGAGUUUGUUCAACUCAGUCAGAGCCAUUUUAUAAGGGGAAUAGAAAUCGAAUGAGUGUCUGAAACUAAGUCAAUCCCAAACUUAAUCUCCCUAUCCAGAGGAAUCAUCCAGAAAGACCUUCCGAGUUAGAAUCUUUAAACCGUAUUAGAUAAUAGAGACACCCUUUAGAGAUUAAUUUUUAAGAUCUAAGAUAUGAUAUAAACUUCCCAUUAGGAGCUAUGGAACCCCUCUCCUAUUCAAUAACCGGUUCACCAGGGAACCUAAAUACAAUCUUACGGAUCCGACAGUCUAAGGGCGCGUAGCAUGAGUAUAACCAAUCCAUACCUAGAAUAACAUCAAAAUCAACAACAUUUAAUUCAUAAAAAUCCACCAAAGUCUUCAUACUACCAACAAAUACCCCCUAUAGACUAAUUUAGCAAUCACAGAGUCACCUAAUAACCUCGGGAGCAAAACCAAAAUACACAUCCAUUAAUGGGAUCACAUAAGAGAGAGAAGUUCUUGGAUCAAGUAAAUAAUGCACAUCACAUGAAAAAAGUUUCAACAUACUAGUCACGACAUAAGGCGAUGCAUCAGACUCCUAUCGGGUAGUGAGUACAUAUAGACUAUUCUGACUAGUGCUGGUACCAGAGGCAGAAACAGAUGUAGAAGCACCACCCUUCGGUGCGAGAGUAGAUGAAAAGGCAACCUAAACCUUAUUCACCCCUAAAGAGAGCUUACUAAUCUGGCAAUUUAUCAGUAUAUGGCCUGGCUGACCAUAUUUGAAGCACUUGUCCUUCCCCUUAUCACAUAAACCUUGAUAUAACCAACCGUAAAACCUACAAGGAGGAUAUUAUAAGGUCGAAUAAGCCCCACUUGCCUAAAAUUGGGCACCUUAUGCCCUAAAGGUAUUGUUAGCCUGCUAACGCCUAUCACCCAAAGGCUUCGAGUAAAGAGCACUAGCUAUUGAGAAAGAAGCAGAACUCCCCCACUUCUUAUUUGGCCACUUGCCACUAUUUCUACCAUUUUACUGUUAAACACCCUACUCCGAAAACCUACACUUUUUACCCUGCCUUUCCCUUCCUCAGUUUACUUCAUUUUUUCUUCCUUUACUUGUUGCAUAUGAAUAACCAACCUACAAAUAUCCAUGUCCUUGAUUAGUAAGGUAGUUUUACUUUCCAGUAUCAACUCAUGAGAUAGUUUUGAAAUGAAAUUUCUCAUUCUAUCCCUCAUAUCGGACACCACUUCCAAUGAAUAGCUAGACAACUAGUGAAAUUUCAAGGCAUACUCUUUGACCAAUAUUUUCCCUUAUUUCAAAUUAACAAAUUCCUUCUCUUUCUCUUUCCUUAACUCCUGAGGAAAAAAAAGAUCAAGAAAUACAUAAAGAAAGUCUCCCACAAAGAUGACUCCUCAACAUCACCCUUUGACUUAUCAGAUCAUUGAAUCAUAAUCUGAAAAACGAACAAACAAGAUUUGAGAAGAUUCUAAGACUUAGACUCCAAUCUUGAAAAUAGAACACAAAGAAGAGAAAUAUUCCUAAGUGCCUUGUAGCCUCUCCCUUAUGAGUGUGGUACGCUACACACCCUUAAAAGAGACUCUACUCUACACGGCAUUAUGGACUUCCCAACUGACCAUAUACCUAAAGCUCCAAUACCCACUUGACAUGACCCAAACUAGGGACUUAUCAUAAUAGGCAUCUCAAGUCCAACCAGGAUCGGAGACCACAAUCGUUACCCAACCAACUAACCAACAUAUACUCUAAGUUGAAUAAAUUUUGCACAUAUAUAAAGAUCGCAUUUUAUAUAAUUCCAGACUUUAGGAUAUGUCCAUGACCGUGACCAACCUAAGAAAGUCCAGCCAUCUACUGCCAAUCAGUAACCACAGCCAAACUGAUAUAAUAACCAAGUUCAUGUCUAUAUUAACAUAAUAGGAAGGAAUAAUCAUAAGUACAGUAAAAGGGCAAUAGCCCCAAUACCAAUGACAGUACUAAGGCUGAUACCACUACCGACACCGCCCAUACUAACCCAUAAUAGAUCUACAAAGCCUCUAACUAAAAGUAAAAUAAUAUCCGAUCAGGAAAUGCUCCCAACCAUAGCCAAAACCAAUAUGCAUAAAAUAACCAAAGAAUUUAAAGAUAUCCAUUAUAUAAAAUGGAGCCUUCAGAAGUAUGCAGGUUUACCAUUUAAAUCCAACAGCUGAUCUUAAAAUCUAUCACUAAGAAAGAGGAGUAGAAUGGUUGGUUGUUGCAUUGCAUGGGGAUACAGUCGCUUGAAGAUGGGUUAGCGGGUGAAUGCUAGAAAGUCAUCAGGAUAAGGAUAUAUUAAUUUUAACCUUUAAAACUAAGUAAACAACCAUAUGCAUUCACAACCAUACAGAUAUAUAUAUAUAAUCAAUGCCGGUAAAGACAACUGGGUUUAGUAUACCUUUAAAAUAAUUAUUCUGGGUAUGUAUAGGUUAACCAUCCUAGAAAUACCCAUGAGCUAUAUGCUUCCAGUGUAACCCACUAAACAGGCUUCGAUAUAUAUAACUGCAUGAAUCAAAGAUGCCAUAGGGGUAAGGGAUUCUCGUGUACCCUUCCCCCUCCAUGAUACAUGUGUACAAGUGUACUUAAGGGAUUUUCUGUACCCUGUAAGUAUCAUAUAUAGUCUCCAUGACCAGUCCUUAUGUCGGAAAAUAUGAGUUUCCAGUGUCCUUACAUUGGAAUCACACCUUCAUGGUUAGCUGUCACACCCUACCAUUAUUGCCUAAUUAAAACCAUCACCACAUAACCAAAACUACUAUUCCAUUUAUUAUUAACCAAGGCUAUAAGUAGUGGUAUUGUCAUAUCUACUAUAGCUUACAAGCGAUGUCCUUUUCCAACUUUUUAGUGAAGAAAGGAUUCCCAUGUACCCAUAGAUUAUAUUAUUUAGUUGAUUGGGGGAUUUCCAUGUACCCCAUAAGAUGUUCAUUAUUAUGUCUACAUGGGGGAUCCCCUUGUACCCCUCAAGGAUGUUCUAUUAACCCAUAACCAUGACCACCAAGACCUUACGAUUUAACCAUUUUUACCAUUAGGGUUUUAUUACAAAGUUGUACUAUGCGACAAUUCCAUUAAAAGUCCAAUAAUAUAGUAAAAGUAUUCUUAUAGGUGUUUUAUCAAACAUGUUGUGGGUAUAGUAUUUCCAAAGCUAAUACAAAGU